UGAACAGAGGAUGGUUUAUACCACGGUACAACACUAGAGGGAGUAUUUGUUCACGGACAGGGUAGAGCUUUUAGCCCGUUAGAGAUGUACUUUGUUGGGUGUAUGUCGCUGCUGCAGUAUUUUUUUGCACUUGUUGAUUCUUCUACGGUGUGAGAAUUGAUGUAGUGUGAAAAUGGAAUAAACUGUCUCUGUGAAUAAUUCUAUGAUAUUAAAUAAACCGAUUGUCUAUUUGAUCGUUGGUUGGCUUAAACUUUUCAUGUUCUUAUUUCUGAUGUCGAUUUCCUCAAUGGCAGAAUCCUACGCUCUAUAAAUAGAACACAUCAAAAAGAAGUUUGAUAUUUUUAUCAUAAAAAAGCUACAUAGUACUUCUUUUAGAUUAUUAUUUUUAGGGAAAACACCUGAGCUUUAUUAAGGAGGUCAGGUAGCAGAUACAAAUCCCGGGGGCUCCAGUAGCAAAACAUGGCGGCCUAGACAUAAAACUAGAGAUAUUCUAGCAGUUUAUGGCCAUUUACAUUGUACACCCUUGUUUCAUGUUUAAAGGAAACAUCUCGUAGAACCUCCAGCUUGCGCGCGACUCCAGGGUGUGCAAGGAAACAUCUCGUAGAACCUACAUUGUACACCGUUGGUUAAGAUCAUGGGUUCCUCUCCUCUGCUUCCUUCAUACCGUAGAUACUUCUGACAACCCCCAUAGAAUCAGAGGCUAUAACAGCCUUGUACAGAUUUAGGUCCUGCAUCAAGCACAGCCCUUCGAAGCACGCCAUUGCCUCAACACGAACUGGAUCGUAAACAGUCUCCAUAACCAAUGCCGAAGCCCCCAGGUAGGUACCAUACCAUUAUCAGCACGAAAAAUAGCUGCAGCCGAGCACCUGUUGAUCUCAUAUGACAAUGUAGCAUCAACAUUACCUUUCGCAGCACCCUUUGGAGGACGGAUCCAACGCUGCCUCUCCUGCUGACCUCUCUGUUCUGCUGAAUCGAUCAAGCCCAGCUCAUGCAAAAAUUGCAUGUUUCAAAGGGCUUUGAUAAACAUCUUCAUGUAUGAUAUCUCGUCUUGCCUUCCAGAUUGCCCACGGGGUAGUAAUCAUCUUCACAUAAUCUGUACUGGAUAGGAAAUCAUCCAUCUUGAACACCGAGCUUCUAGCAUUUGGCUCACCGCAGCUCCUCGGUUUAUCAUAGAGUUCUUCAUCGACUAAUACCCUAACACAUCAAUCCAUUCUGCACUCUCGUAAUGAAUGUCUCCACAAAUCCUCGCUCCAGCCACAAAUGCUGCAAAACACUAGUCGGUGCCAUGUUCCUGUGGUGAGCAACAUCUGCAGUGGGUAAGCUUUGGCGCGCAAGCCUCCAAGCAAAAACUUUUAAUGUAGCCGGUAUUGAAUGCUUCUACAUUCUUGUCCAUGAUCUUUCAUUAUUAUUUUUCAACUCAGGCCCACAUGCUCGCCCAUCUAGUAUUUUUUUUUGAGAAUUCUAGUACUCCCUCCGUAAACUAAUAUAAGAGCAUUUAGAUCACUAUUUUAGUAAUCUAAACACUUUUAUAUUAGUUUACAGAGGGAGUACUUCUUUUAGAGAUUAUUACAAUCCGCAGUACUAGUACUGGGCUGGAAAAAUGUAAGAACAAGUAACAAGCUAUGAAGUGCUUUUUUUUAACAAGCUAUGAAGUGCUUGGUUGCCCUCACCACCCACCACCAUUCCUUAUUGUGGGCCUUCAUAGCUGCCUGGUCAAUUGGUACUUGGGCCACGAAUGAGUUCACCAGUGAAAUGUCAGUUGCGAAAAACAAAAUCGGUAAGUGGGUUGGCCUGUGUGGCUUGUGUCCACCUGUUAACAUUAUACAUGAAUGACACCCCUCAUUUCUCUAAAGAAAAAAGAAAUAUGUUGUCUUGAUUCUAUUCUCACUCUGAUUUUGUUUUGUUUAUUCAUGAGUGGAAGUUUUGGCUAAGAUAAAUGUCGAAUGUGGUUCGCUUGGAAAAUGGAUAAAGUGGGACGCGGUAAUUGCUAGGUGCGUGCAAACUUUCGUGAGCAAAUGUCAUGCACCCAAAGCCUGGGCUGCCGGCGAUAUUCAGCAAUCAGCACGCCAAGGCCAUGGGCUGGAUCAACUGCUAGUGAAAACACUCUGCCACACCAAGCAUAAUAUCAUCUCGCGUGGUUACCUUACCUGCGCCUAAUCCGCCACAGCUUAGCGACACGAUGAGCAUCUGACAGGGCCGCCAUGAUCUGCAGAUUCAGAGAUUCUGACUGUGUGACCGCCCAAACGCUAGCCAGCGAGACAGAGUUGCUCGCUUCCAUCGCACGCACACACGCACGUACAAGGCCUCAGACCUGGCGAAUCUUUGCGUCUGCGUGCAGGCGAAACGCUUGCUCGUCUCUGCUGUUGUUUUGAUCUGAUUCAGUCAUACAGUUACGCUUGCUGCGUUGCUCAUCUGUUCCGCGUGGAGGCGAGCGAAACCACCACUAGCAAGCGACCGCGCUCCCGAGGACACUAUUGGUAAACACAGUGCUGAAGCCAAGCUUUCGCAGCGGGGGGAGCAGGUGGCACCCUGCAACGACGUCGAUGGGGACGACACUCUUUGCGUUUCUGACGACGAAAAACUGCACACAGAAACGGAGCCGUGCUCCAAUCAUCUCUAUAUAUAUUUUAGAGAGAAACUGGAGAAGCACAAAGAUCUCACAAGAGGAGAACAGAUGUUCCUGCUUCUCAACAGCAUUUUAUUUAUUUAUUUAUAAUAAUGGAAGAAAUCUACCAGCAUCCUCCUAUAUGAUGCAAACAGCCCAGCAACACAUCUUUCAGUAAGCUAGUUCCAGAUAAGAAUCCGGUGAAAUUCGGGCAGCCAGAUCCGUGCGUGAGAGAGACAGCCGACAGCUGAGCUGAGCUUAUUAGCAGUGCUCCCAUCAAAUCAAGUCAUGGAAUUACUAUUAGUUGAAGACAUGUAGGAACCGUAAAAGAAUGAAUUCGAGGAUGCCCGGGGCCGGAUCACCUUUUAUUGGGACUCAUGUGCUGCCACCAUCCCUGGCCGGCUCCAUGGGCUUUAAAAAAUGUUCAGGGACAUGGCUCGGUCUCCAUCACUGACAGGAGUUAGUACGCCGGCCCCCGGAAAUUUUCACACGGGAGAAACAGCUCCAAGAAAAUCACCCAUCCCCAGCCAGCUCGCCCAGCUCGGCUCAGCUCAGAGACACUGUAGGAAAGGGACGAGGUUCAUGUCAAAUUCCCAGGCCUACCCCCCUCUCCCGAGGAAAGAGACGAGGUUUUGACGGAAUGACCAAAAGGCGGAGCGAUAGAGAGGAAAGCCACCAUGUCUGCCCCCUCUCGCCCGGCCUGCAGCCUCAUCGUGCGUGCCUGAAUGAAUGGCGCAGAGCGCUGCCAAUAUAAUUCAGAGAUGAUUGAGCUACAGCCAUGCACAUAGAUAGGCCUGCGUGUGAGCUGAGCCUAUACAUAGCUAAGUAUUGCGUGCAAACAAAUGGCGGGUAGCCUCCGAUAAUUCAUAAACAAACAUGUNNNNNNNNNNNNNNNNNNNNNNNNNNNNNNNNNNNNNNNNNNNNNNNNNNNNNNNNNNNNNNNNNNNNNNNNNNNNNNNNNNNNNNNNNNNNNNNNNNNNNNNNNNNNNNNNNNNNNNNNNNNNNNNNNNNNNNNNNNNNNNNNNNNNNNNNNNNNNNNNNNNNNNNNNNNNNNNNNNNNNNNNNNNNNNNNNNNNNNNNNNNNNUCCAAAGUAGAGUAUUCAGGGCCUCCUCCUCCCCUCUCCUCUCUAGGGAACUUAUGCUGAUUUGACGCGAGCAAAGCAGCAGCAGCAGCGGCAGCUGGGAGUAGCAUAAAUUAGUGCCACUGCCGGGGGGAAGCCUACCGUGCCAUAGGCCACUGUUGCUGUGGCAUUUGUAUACUAGGCGCGCGCAGGCUUUUCCCUUUGUUUCUUGCUCCUGUGAAGGAAAGACUCUGAAGAAAAGAGAGAGGGCUCGUGCUGCAACUGCAAUGCGAUGCACAGCACGCGCACUGCACCUGUAGCUCUACACACGUAGGAGGAGGAAAUCCCUGCUACUGUUCAAGCCUGAUCUUUUGGGGGCUUGCCCGGGCGCCUAUCCAUGGUUUUCUGUACGCGCUCAUACUAUAUGCGGCUCUGCGAGGCACAUGCCCUGCCAUGGAGUGCGCUUGUGCUGGGAAGAUGGAGUGAGGAUAAGAAAUUGUUCUGAAGUUCUUCAUGGGGGAGAUUGUUUCUUUCGGUGUGGUGUGGUGCGUGCACCGGCCACAAGAUCCAGGAAUCCCAGGAACAAUUACAGGCUCCAUCCAGACAUGGAAAACGCUGGUGGGAAUUAGUAAAAGUUUGGAGACAUCCAGCGUUAAAAAUAAAGGAGAAAAGGAAUCGACGCCUGAGAGAUUCGAACUCUCGCGGGGAAACCCCAUGUACUUAGCAGGCACACGCCUUAACCACUCGGCCAAAGCGUCUUUUGUAUUUACACGGGCAUACUGAGCCUUUUCUACGAAAGGAAGCAUGCUCGAAACAGAGCAAAAUGAUGAGGAAGAUGUCGUCCAGGAGAAAAUAUCACGGCAUAGAUUGACGAAAAUUAAUUGGAAAAUCACUCCUCAAAACCGGAAGUUGGCUUGGCCUUGGCGACUCGAGAAGGAGAAGAACCAGAGAGAGAGAGAGCGCGUGAACGAACAAUCUCGAUCCAUCUCUCCACCUCUUCGGACCCGACAAGACACGACCGGCUAGCUAAUUACAACAUCACACUGGUUAAAAUCUCCAAGAACUGAACAAUGUUAUUACAUACAUCGAGGAGGAAGCCUCCAUGUUUGGUUUCUUCCCAUGAUUCCAUGGAUCUCUCUGCGCUCUGCUCCCUCUUCUUCUUCUCUAGCUAGAUCCCUCUGGUUGCCGUGCGUGUGCUCGACCUCCUGGCCUUGUGCGCGCCGCCGUAGCCUUGAAGAGCUAGCUCCCGCGAGUGAGCUGAAGCAGCCGUAAUGGCGGACCGAGUCGGGAGCAGCAUCAAGGGCAUACAUAUAUGUGCAGACGGAGCUGUGGGCGGACGGUCAUGGGCUCAUGGCAUGAAGAGCCUGUCGCCGCACUUGCAGCGCCAGGCCUCCGGGUAGUACUCGAGCGGGAAGCUGACGCCGGGCUGGAUGGCCACGUGCACCGGCCGGCACGGGUGGCACCGCCCGCACCGGCUCCGGCACGUCGGCGGCGACGAGCCCGGGCCCACCAGCUCCCUCCGCCGCGCCUCCUCCGCAGGCUCCACCCACGAGUACUGCUCAAGGGCUGCUUUACCGCCGCCGCCGCCGCUCCACCGGCUCGUCGCGGCGCACCCACCUGCAGGAGACACACGCACAUGUGCGCGCGUACGUGUGAGCUAGAGCUCGCCAUGUAUGUAAUGCCGUAGAAACACGGAGAAAGUGCAUGUCGCUGGCUGUCUUACCGAGGGCAGCGGCGAGGAAGAGGAGGUGCAGGAGGAGCGCCGCGGCGAGGCCGCGCCGGCUCGCCCAGCCCAUGGGUGGCCGAGCGUCUCCGCUCAGCUAGGUCACCAGAUCUCGUACACCCACCCAGCGGCCGGCGUAGGUGUCGCGCCUGGCGGGCUAGCUCGAGGACGGGCCGGAGGUGGUGACCGGUGAGGGGGGAGCAGGACAGGAGGGAGAAGAAAGCAGAGCGAGAGCGGCGCUGAAUGCCGCUGGGUGCUGCUGCCGUGCACGAGGGGGACUGACGCGGACGGAAGGGGGUGGAGUGGAGUGGCGUUUGUGUGUGCGCGCGAGUCAAUCCGCACGCACGCACGGAGUAGUCAUGGACCGUGCGUGCGGGCUCUGCAGCGCCGGAGGCAUAAAGGAGAGAGAGAGGAGGUGAGGCCAAACUCCACCGCGCGACCCCAAUCUGUCCGCGCGCGUCCGUUUAUGGUAAAACGGAAGAAUAGCGCGGCCCAACGCGCGGCCUUAAACAGACAAAUGUCCGGAUUCCGUCCGUUUUCGACGCAUCCCCGGCCCAAAUUUGCACUCGGUUUGGGGUGAAACGGACGCGCGCGGACGGCCUAGACGCACGCCCUUGUCCCUCCCCCGCCUGUCGGGGACACUAGCAGUCCCUUCGCUCCCAGCGCUUCCACCCUCUCUCUCCCGCCCCGCCCCGCCGCCGGAGAUGCCGCUAUUCUCCGGCCGCCUCCUCCGGGCAGCCCCCAGCCGUCCCUACCAAACCACGUCUCGACAUGGCCGCCACCACGCCCGCGCUUUCGCCGUAGUUUUGGCCGUCGAUCAGAGGAGGUUCGGCCGUCGCCGUCUUUGCCGGUGGUAGAGGGGACACGACCGCCGGCGACGUACCACGGCGGCCUCGGCAGCUUGCGACGAGAGCUCCAGAGCGGCCAGUAGCCAGCCGACAACCACCCCUACUGCGUCGAGGUGAUCAUCGCGGCCUCUUUGCCACCACGACCGCAAGGUGUUCGACAUUUUGCCCACAAAGGUAUGGACAGUGGAGACGAGUUUUUCUUCCAUCACUUCCUGUGUUCAUCGGACGAUUCGUGGGAGACUGAAGGAAAUAUGCCCUAGAGGCAAUAAUAAAGUUAUUAUUUAUUUCCUUAUAUCAUGAUAAAUGUUUAUUAUUCAUGCUAGAAUUGUAUUAACCGGAAACAUAAUACUUGUGUGAAUACAUAGACAAACAAAAUGUCACUAGUAUGCCUCUACUUGACUAGCUCGUUGAUCAAAGAUGGUUAUGUUUCCUAGCCAUUGACAUGAGUUGUCAUUUGAUUAACGAGAUCACAUCAUUAGGAGAAUGAUGUGAUUGACUUGACCCAUUCCGUUAGCUUAGCACACGAUCGUUCAGUAUUCUGCUAUUGCUUUCUUCAUGACUUAUAUAUGUUCCUAUGACUAUGAGAUUAUGAGACUCCCGUUUACCGGAGGAACACUUUGUGUGCUACCAAACGUCACAACGUAACUGGGUGAUUAUAAAGGUGCUCUACAGGUGUCUCCAAAGGUACUUGUUGGGUUGGCGUAUUUCGAGAUUAGGAUUUGUCACUCCGAUUGUCGGAGAGGUAUCUCUGGGCCCACUCGGUAAUGCACAACACUAUAAGCCUUGCAAGCAUUGCAACCAAUGAGUUAGUUGCGGAAUGAUGUAUUCAAGAACGAGUAAAGAGACUUGCCGGUAACGAGAUUGAACUAGGUAUUGAGAUACCGACGAUCGAAUCUCGCGCAAGUAAUACCAAUGACAAAGGGAACAACGUAUGUUGUUAUGCGGUUUGAACGAUAAAGAUUUUCGUAGAAUAUGUGGGAGCCAAUAUGAGCAUCCAGGUUCCGCUAUUGGUUAUUGACCGGAGACGUGUCUCGGUCAUGUCUACAUAGUUCUCGAACCCGUAGGGUCUGCACGCUUAAAGUUUGAUGACGGUUAUAUUAUGAGUUUAUGUGUUUUGAUGUACCGAAGGUAGUUCGGAGUCCCGGAUGUGAUCACAGACAUGACGAGGAGUCUCAAAAUGGUCGAGACAUGAAGAUUGAUAUAUUGGACGACUAUAUUCGGACACCGGAAUGGUUCCGGGGGUUAUCGGAUAUAUACCGGAGUACCGGGGGUUACCGGAACCCCCCGGGGGUUUAAUGGGCCUACAUGGGCCUUAGUGGAGAAGAGGAGGGGCGGCCAGGGCAGGCCGCGCGCCCCCUCCCCCUCUAGUCCGAAUUGGACAAGGAGGGGGGGGGGGCGGCGCCCCCCUUUCCUUCCUCUCUCCCUCCUCCUUCCCCCUUCUCCUAAUCCAACAAGGAAGGGAGGGAGUCCUACUCCCGGUGGGAGUAGGACUCCUCCUGGCGCGCCUCCUCCUGGCCGGCCGCCUCUCCCCCCUUGCUCCUUUAUAUACGGGGGCAGGGGGCACCCCAUAGACACAACAAUUGAUCUCUUGAUCUCUUAGCCGUGUGCGGUGCCCCCCUCCACCAUAAUCCACCUCGAUAAUAUCGUGGCGGUGCUUAGGCGAAGCCCUGCGUCGGUAGAACAUCAUCAUCGUCACCACGCCGUCGUGCUGACGAAACUCUCCCUCAACACUCGGCUGGAUCGGAGUUCGAGGGACGUCAUCGAGUUGAACGUGUGCAGAACUCGGAGGUGUCGUGCGUUCGGUACUUGAUCGGUCGGAUCGUGAAGACGUACGACUACAUCAACCGCGUUGUGCUAACGCUUCCGCUUUCGGUCUACAAGGGUACGUGGACACACUCUCCCCUCUCGUUGCUAUGCAUCACCAUCAUCUUGCGUGUGCGUAGGAUUUUUUUUUAAAUUACUACGUUCCCCAACAGUGGCAUCCGAGCCAGGUUUUAUGCGUUGAUGUAAUAUGCACGAGUAGAACACAAGUGAGUUGUGGGCGAUAUAAGUCAUACUGCUUACCAGCAUGUCACACUUUGGUUCGGCGGUAUUGUUGGAUGAAGCGACCCGGACCGACAUUACGCGUACGCUUACGCGAGACUGGUUCUACCGACGUGCUUUGCAUACAGGUGGCUGGCGGGUGUCAGUUUCUCCAACUUUAGUUGAACCGAGUGUGGCUACGCCCGGUCCUUGAGAAGGUUAAAACAACACUAACUUGACAAACUAUCGUUGUGAUUUUGAUGCGUAGGUAAGAACGUUUCUUGCUCAGCCCGUAGCAGCCACGUAAAACUUGCAACAACAAAGUAGAGGAUGUCUAACUUGUUUUUGCAGGGCAUGUUGUGAUGUGAUAUGGUCAAGGCAUGAUGCUAUAUUUUAUUGUAUGAGAUGAUCAUGUUUUGUAACCGAGUUAUCGGCAACUGGCAGGAGCCAUAUGGUUGUCGCUUUAUUGUAUGCAAUGCAAUCGCCCUGUAAUGCUUUACUUUAUCACUAAGCGGUAGCGAUAGUCGUAGAAGCAUAAGUUGGCGAGACGACAACGAUGCUACGAUGGAGAUCAAGGUGUCGCGCCGGUGACGAUGGUGAUCAUGACGGUGCUUCGGAGAUGGAGAUCACAAGCACAAGAUGAUGAUGGCCAUAUCAUAUCACUUAUAUUGAUUGCAUGUGAUGUUUAUCUUUUAUGCAUCUUAUCUUGCUUUGAUUGACGGUAGCAUUAUAAGAUGAUCUCUCACUAAAUUAUCAAGGUAUAAGUGUUCUCCCUGAGUAUGCACCGUUGCGAAAGUUCUUCGUGCUGAGACACCACGUGAUGAUCGGGUGUGAUAGGCUCUACGUUCAAAUACAACGGGUGCAAAACAGUUGCACACGCAGAAUACUCAGGUUAAACUUGAUGAGACUAGCAUAUAACAGAUAUGGCCUCGGAACACUGAGACCGAAAGGUCGAGCGUGAAUCAUAUAGUAGAUAUGAUCAACAUAGUGAUGUUCACCAUUGAAACUACUCCAUCUCACGUGAUGAUCGGACAUGGUUUAGUUGAUAUGGAUCACGUGAUCACUUAGAGGAUUAGAGGGAUGUCUAUCUAAGUGGGAGUUCUUAAGUAAUAUGAUUAAUUGAACUUAAAUUUAUCAGGAACUUAGUACCUGAUAGUAUUUUGCUUGGCUAUGUUGAUUGUAGAUAGAUGGCCCAUGCCGUUGUUCCGUUGAAUUUUAAUGCGUUCCUUGAGAAAGAAAAGUUGAAAGAUGAUGGUAGCAAUUACACGGACUGGGUCCGUAACUUGAGGAUUAUCCUCAUUACUACACAGAAGAAUUACGUCCUGGAAGCACCGCUAGGUGCCAAACCUGCUGCAGGAGCACACCAGAUGUUAUGAACGUCUGGCAGAGCAAAGCUGAUGACUACUCGAUAGUUCAGUGUGCCAUGCUUUACGGCUUAGAACCGGGACUUCAACGACGUUUUGAACGUCAUGGAGCAUAUGAGAUGUUCCAGGAGUUGACGUUAAUAUUUCAAGCAAAUGCCCGGAUUGAGAGAUAUGAAGUCUUCAAUAAGUUCUACAGCUGUAAGAUGGAGGAGAAUAGUUCUGUCAGUGAGCAUAUACUCAGAAUUUUUGGAUAUAACAAUCACUUGAUUCAACUGGGAGUUAAUCUUCCGGAUGAUAGCGUCAUUGACAGAAUUCUUCAAUCACUACCACCAAGCUACAAGAGCUUCGUGAUGAACUAUAACAUGCAAGAGAUGAAUAAGACGAUUCCCGAGCUCUUCGCAAUGCUAAAAGCUGCGGAGGUAGAAAUCAAGAAGGAGCAUCAAGUGUUGAUGGUCAACAAGACCACCAGUUUCAAGAAAAAGGGCAAAGGGAAGAAGAAGGGGAACUUCAAGAAGAACAGCAAACAAGUUGCUGCUCAGGAGAAGAAACCCAAGUCUGGACCUAAGCCUGAGACUGAGUGCUUCUAUUGCAAACAGACUGGUCACUGGAAGCGGAACUGCCCCAAGUAUUUGGCGGAUAAGAAGGAUGGCAAGGUGAACAAAGGUAUAUGUGAUAUACAUGUUAUUGAUGUGUACCUUACUAAUGCUCGCAGUAGCACCUGGGUAUUUGAUACCGGUUCUGUUGCUAAUAUUUGCAACUCGAAACAGGGACUACGAAUUAAGCGAAGAUUGGCUAAGGACGAGGUGACGAUGCGCGUGUGAAAUGGUUCCAAAGUCGAUGUGAUCGCAGUCGGCACGCUACCUCUACAUCUACCUUCGGGAUUAGUUUUAGACCUGAAUAAUUGUUAUUUGGUGCCAGCGUUGAGCAUGAACAUUAUAUCUGGAUCUUGUUUGAUGCGAGACGGUUAUUCAUUUAAAUCAGAGAAUAAUGGUUGUUCUAUUUAUAUGAGUAAUAUCUUUUAUGGUCAUGCAUCCUUGAAGAGUGGUCUAAUUUUGUUGCAUCUCGAUAGUAGUGAUACACAUAUUCAUAAUAUUGAAGCCAAAAGAUGCAGAGUUGAUAAUGAUAGUGCAACUUAUUUGUGGCAUUGCCGUUUAGGUCAUAUCGGUGUAAAGCGCAUGAAGAAACUCCAUACUGAUGGACUUUUGGAACCACUUGAUUAUGAAUCACUUGGUACUCGCGAACCGUGCCUCAUGGGCAAGAUGACUAAAACGCCGUUCUUCGGAACUAUGGAGCGAGCAACAGAUUUAUUGGAAAUCAUACAUACAGAUGUAUGUGGUCCGAUGAAUGUCGAGGCUCGCGGUGGGUAUCGUUAUUUUCUCACCUUCACAGAUGAUUUGAGCAUAUAUGGGUAUAUCUACUUAAUUAAACAUAAGUCUGAAACAUUUGAAAAGUUCAAAGAAUUUCAGAGUGAAGUUGAAAAUCAUCGUAACAAGAAAAUAAAGUUUCUACGAUCUGAUAGUGGAGGAGAAUAUUUGAGUUACGAGUUUGGUCUUCAUUUGAAACAAUGCGGAAUAGUUUAGCAACUCACGCCACCCGGAACACCACAGCGUAAUGGUGUGUCCGAACGUCGUAAUCGUACUUUACUAGAUAUGGUGCGAUCUAUGAUGUCGCUUACCGAUUUAUCGCUAUCAUUUUGGGGUUAUGCUUUAGAGAUGGCCGCAUUCACGUUAAAUAUGGCACCAUCGAAAUCCGUUGAAACGACGCCUUAUGAACUGUGGUUUGGCAAGAAACCAAAGUUGUCGUUUCUUAAAGUUUGGGGUUGCGAUGCUUAUGUGAAAAAGCUUCAACCUGAUAAGCUCGAACCCAAAUCGGAGAAAUGUGUCUUCAUAGGAUACCCAAAGGAAACUGUUGGGUACACCUUCUAUCACAGAUCUGAAGGCAAGACUUUUGUUGCUAAAUUUGGAUCCUUUCUAGAGAAGGAGUUUCUCUCGAAAGAAGUGAGUGGGAGGAAAGUAGAACUUGAUGAGGUAACAGUACCUGCUCCCUUAUUGGAAAGUAGUUCAUCACAGAAACUGGUUCUUGUGACGUCUACACCAAUUAGUGAGGAAGUUAAUGAUGAUGAUCAUGAAACUUCAGAUCAAGUUGUUACUGAACCUCGUAGAUCAACCAGAGUAAGAUCCGCACCAGAGUGGUACGGUAAUCCUGUUCUGUAGGUUAUGUUACUUGACCAUGACGAACCUACGAACUAUGAAGAAGCUAUGGUGAGCCCAGAUUCCGCAAAAUGGCUUGAGGCCAUGAAAUUCUAGAUGGGAUCCAUGUAUGAGAACAAAGUGUGGACUUUGGUUGACUUGCCCGAUGAUCGGCAAGCCAUCGAGAAUAAAUGGAUCUUCAAGAAGAAGACUGACGCUGACGGUAAUGUUACUGUCUAUAAAGCUCGACUUGUUGCAAAAGGUUUUAGACAAGUUCAAGGGAUUGACUACGAUGAGACCUUUUCACCCGUAGCGAUGCUUAAGUCUGUCCGAAUCAUGUUAGCAAUUGCCGCAUUUCAUGAUUAUGAAAUUUGGCAAAUGGAUGUAAAAACUGCAUUCCUGAAUGGAUUUCUGGAAGAAGAGUUGUAUAUGAUGCAGCCGGAAGGUUUUGUCGAUCCAAAGGGAGCUAACAAAGUGUGCAAGCUCCAGCGAUCCAUUUAUGGACUGGUGCAACCCUCUCGGAGUUGGAAUAAACGCUUUGAUAGUGUGAUCAAAGCAUUUGGUUUUAUACAGACUUUUGGAGAAGCCUGUAUUUACAAGAAAGUGAGUGGGAGCCCUGUAGCAUUUCUGAUAUUAUAUGUGGAUGACAUAUUGCUGAUUGGAAAUGACAUAGAAUUUCUGGAUAGCAUAAAGGGACACUUGAAUAAAAGUUUUUCAAUGAAGGACCUCGGUGAAGCUGCUUAUAUAUUGGGCAUCAAGAUCUAUAGAGAUAGAUCAAGACGCUUAAUUGGACUUUCACAAAGCACAUACCUUGACAAAGUUUUGAAGAAGUUCAAAAUGGAUCAAGCAAAGAAAGGGUUCUUGCCUGUGUUACAAGGUGUGAAGUUGAGUAAGACUCAAUGCCCGACCACUGCAGAAGAUAGAGAGAAGAUGAAAGAUGUUCCCUAUGCUUCAGCCAUAGGCUCUAUCAUGUAUGCAAUGCUGUGUACCAGACCUGAUGUGUGCCUUGCUAUAAGUUUAGCAGGGAGGUAGCAAAGUAAUCCAGGAGUGGAUCACUGGACAGCGGUCAAGAACAUCCUGAAAUACCUGAAAAGGACUAAGGAUAUGUUUCUAGUUUAUGGAGGUGACAAAGAGCUAGUCGUAAAUGGUUACGUCGAUGCAAGCUUUGACACUGAUCCGGACGAUUCUAAAUCGCAAACCGGAUACGUGUUUACAUUGAACGGUGGAGCUGUCAGUUGGUGCAGCUCUAAACAAAGCGUUGUGGCGGGAUCUACGUGUGAAGCGGAGUACAUAGCUGCUUUGGAAGUAGCAAAUGAAGGAGUCUGGAUGAAGGAGUUCAUACCCGAUCUAGGUGUCAUACCUGGUGCAUCGGGUCCAAUGAAAAUCUUUUGUGACAAUACUGGUGCAAUUUCCUUGGCAAAGGAAUCCAGAUUUCACAAGAGAACCAAGCACAUCAAGAGACGCUUCAACUCCAUCCGGGAUCUAGUCCAGGUGGGAGACAUAGAAAUUUGCAAGAUACAUAUGGAUCUGAAUGUUGCAGACCCGUUGACUAAGCCUCUUCCACGAGCAAAACAUGAUCAACACCAAGGCUCCAUGGGUGUUUGAAUCAUUACUGUGUAAUCUAGAUUAUUGACUCUAGUGCAAGUGGGAGACUGAAGGAAAUAUGCCCUAGAGGCAAUAAUAAAGUUAUUAUUUAUUUCCUUAUAUCAUGAUAAAUGUUUAUUAUUCAUGCUAGAAUUGUAUUAACCGGAAACAUAAUACUUGUGUGAAUACAUAGACAAACAAAGUGUCACUAGUAUGCCUCUACUUGACUAGCUCGUUGAUCAAAGAUGGUUAUGUUUCCUAGCCAUUGACAUGAGUUGUCAUUUGAUUAACGGGAUCACAUCAUUAGGAGAAUGAUGUGAUUGACUUGACCCAUUCCGUUAGCUUAGCACACGAUCGUUUAGUAUUCUGCUAUUGCUUUCUUCAUGACUUAUAUAUGUUCCUAUGACUAUGAGAUUAUGCAACUCCCAUUUACCGGAGGAACACUUUGUGUGCUAUCAAACGUCACAACGUAACUGGGUGACUAUAAAGGUGCUCUACAGGUGUCUCCAGAGGUACUUGUUGGGUUGGCGUAUUUCGAGAUUAGGAUUUGUCACUCUGAUUGUCGGAGAGGUAUCUCUGGCCCACUCGGUAAUGCACAUCACUAUAAGCCUUGCAAGCAUUGCAACUAAUGAGUUAGUUGCGGAAUGAUGUAUUACAGAACGAGUAAAGAGACUUUCCGGUAACGAGAUUGAACUAGGUAUUGAGAUACCGACGAUCGAAUCUCGCGCAAGUAACAUACCGAUGACAAAGGGAACAACGUAUGUUGUUAUGCGGUUUGACCGAUAAAGAUUUUCGUAGAAUAUGUGGGAGCCAAUAUGAGCAUCCAGGUUCCGCUAUUGGUUAUUGACCGGAGACGUGUCUCGGUCAUGUCUACAUAGUUCUCGAACCCGUAGGGUCUGCACGCUUAAAGUUUGAUGACGGUUAUAUUAUGAGUUUAUGUGUUUUGAUGUACGGAAGAUAGUUCGGAGUCCCGGAUGUGAUCACAGACAUGACGAGGAGUCUCGAAAUGGUCGAGACAUGAAGAUUGAUAUAUUGGACGACUAUAUUCGGACACCGGAAUGGUUCCGGGGGUUAUCGGAUAUAUACCGGAGUACCGGGGGUUACCGGAACCCCCCGGGGGUUUAAUGGGCCUACAUGGGCCUUAGUGGAGAAGAGGAGGGGCGGCCAGGGCAGGCCGCGCGCCCCCUCCCCCUCUAGUCCGAAUUGGACAAGGAGGGGGGGGGGGGCGGCGCCCCCCUUUCCUUCCUCUCUCCCUCCUCCUUCCCCCUUCUCCUAAUCCAACAAGGAAGGGAGGGAGUCCUACUCCCGGUGGGAGUAGGACUCCUCCUGGCGCGCCUCCUCCUGGCCGGCCGCCUCUCCCCCCUUGCUCCUUUAUAUACGGGGGCAGGGGGCACCCCAUAGACACAACAAUUGAUCUCUUGAUCUCUUAGCCGUGUGCGGUGCCCCCCUCCACCAUAAUCCACCUCGAUAAUAUCGUAGCGGUGCUUAGGCGAAGCCCUGCGUCGGUAGAACAUCAUCAUCGUCACCACGCUGUCGUGCUGACGAAACUCUCCCUCAACACUCGGCUGGAUCGGAGUUCGAGGGACGUCAUCGAGUUGAACAUGUGCAGAACUCGGAGGUGCCGUGCGUUCGGUACUUCAUCGGUCGGAUCGUGAAGACGUACGACUACAUCAACCGCGUUGUGCUAACGCUUCCGCUUUCGGUCUACGAGGGUACGUGGACACACUCUCCCCUCUUGUUGCUAUGCAUCACCAUGAUCUUGCGUGUGCGUAGGAAUUUUUUUGAAAUUACUACGUUCCCUAACAGAUCUUGUGGUGGUUGCACUGGUCGUUCACGACCACAUUCAACGGCAGCUUCCUCGGUACAGGGGGUCAGUCCCUGGCCGUGCUCCCAACCUGAACCGCAACAGGGAGAGAGGUCACGCCCUGUUCUAUGCCGAUUACUUUGCGAACACUCCGCUUUUCCUGCCGGAUAAAUUCCGUCGCCGUUUUCGUAUGGCAAGGCAUGUGUUCAAUCGUAUCCGAGAGGGAGUGGUUGCUCAUGACCCAUACUUCGAGUGCAAGACGGAUGCCCUUGGCAAGGUUGGAUUCUCCUCUUACCAGAAAUGCACCGCGGCCAUCCGCAUGCUUGCAUAUGGUAUUCCAGGCGAUCUGGUGGAUGAGUAUGUGCGUAUGAGUGAGACAACAUGUCUAAUGUCAAUGUACAAGUUUUGCCAGGAUGUGAUCGAGGUGUUUGGCCCAGAGUACUUGAGGCAGCCAACUGCCGCUGAUACAGAGAGAUUGUUGGCGACCAACGCAGCUAGAGGCUUUCCAGGCAUGCUUGGCAGCAUAGAUUGUAUGCACUGGGAGUGGAAGAACUGUCCAUUUGCUUGGCAGGGACAGUACAAGGGGCAUGUCAACGGGUGCACUGUCAUAUUAGAAGUGGUGGCAUCGCAGGAUCUUUGGAUAUGACAUUCUUUCUUCGGCAUGGCAGGUUCUCACAAUGAUAUCAACGUGCUGCAGCGUUCUCCUGUCUUCGCGAGGCUUGCAGAAGGCCACUCCCCACCUGUCAACUUUGAGAUCAACGGCUACCAGUACAACAAAGGAUACUAUCUAGCUGAUAGUAUAUAUCCUCAGUGGUCAAUUUUUGUGAAGACAAUCUCGAAACCCCAAGGUGAGAAGAGAAAGAGAUUUGCCCAAAUGCAAGAGAGUGUUAGAAAGGAUGUGGAACGUGCUUUUUGUGUGCUUCAAUCCCGGUGGGGUAUCGUUCGAAACCCUGCACUGUCAUGGGAUGAAAGGAAGCUUUGGGAGGUGAUGACUGCUUGUGUGAUCAUGCACAACAUGAUCGUCGAGGACGAGCGUGAUGAAAGUAUCUUCGACCAAGGAUUUGAUUAUCAAGGUGAAAAUAUUGAGCCCCUGCACCAAGACCCGGCCAUAUUUGAACAGUUUGUCCAAUUCCACCGUGAGAUGCGUGAUUGGCACACUCAUUUGAAUCUUCAAAAUGACUUGGUUGAGCACGUGUGGAAUCACAUUGGCAACCAAUAGAUGUAUUGGUUCAUUUUAUGUUCAGUCAGGACAAUUUCGAUUUGGUUGUAAAACUAUUUUAUUAAAGACAAUUUCAAUUGGGUUGUAAAACUAUUUUAAUUUUCAGACAAAUAUUUGGAUUGUAAACUAGUUUUGAUAAAAAUAUGGGUAUUUUGGGCCCUGACGGACAGGAUGGGGCAAACGGAUGCGGCCGCGCGCUGGGUGCACGGCCCCCGCAUACCAGGACACGACCUCAUUGCCCUACUAGCUUAACCAUGAGAUGGCCGUGCUCGCACCCAACUACCCGAGCCCUGCACUGCACUGCCGUGUCACCCUCCCGCAUGAUGGCUUACCUGCGUUAAAUAACCAUUGUCUUCACAUCAGUUACUCGCCGUUUCGUCACGUCUCGGAGUUACGCGUCUCAUCACCUCAUGCGUGUACGUACUACACGUAGACGUAGGUACUCUCCACACGCAUGGCCGUGUUGGUCCUGAUAGUGCUUGUCACUGGCCACAAGAUCGAUCAGCUCACGGAUGGACGACGGGUGAGAAGACACUUGGAGUGCUGAUGCUGCUUGUCACUGGCUAGAAGAUCGACCGAUGGACCGAGUGAUCGAUCAUCACCUCGUUCUAUAUUUGCUCGUCUCUCUUUCUUGUUAAGUUCUUCGUAUGGCAAUGGCGCUUAUAAUUGCGAAACCUGAGUAGCUAUGCCACCUAGAUUCCGCCUAAUCUAGCUGCAUCGGCCGUCUCAUCGGUCCUUGGCGUCCUGCUCCGCCUCGGUGCACUGUGCCACCUUUCUCGAUCUUGGAUUAAUGAACUCGAUUAAUCAGACGGACAAGUACGCUUAGUUGGCACAUGCAUGUCUCCGCAGUUACUCUUGCUCCUCUUGCACGCACGUGUACAAUGGUGACAUAUGAAUACAGAUGUCCCAGUAAUUUAAGGCAUUUACGUUUAUUUUUUUCUCCCAAAUGCAAGCUAUCAUUAAUGGGCCUCAUUAAGAAAUACUUCAAUCUUUCCAGCUUUUAACACCGGACCACACUUUUUCUCUUCAAACACCCGACUCCUGAAGAGAAUCCUGCUUCCUUAUGCGAACCUACUUUAUCUGAUAUCCGAUUCUACAUGACAUGCGAGGCAUCACACUGCGUCUAUACAUUGUAAUACAUGUCUUUAAAUGCUUAAGCAUGAAGCGCUAGUCCACGAUUACCACAGUACUACUGGUACGGUCUUCCAGCUCACGCGCCUCUUGCAAAAUUGAUAGAGAUACUCUUUUUCAGUCUCUAGGUGGAAUUAAUUUGGAUGGUUACCCGGGACCUGCCCCUGUCUCGAUGCAUCCUGAGGCCUGAGCGAUCAUGACACUGCAUAGCGCUCAGCUAGACGAUGGGCACAUUACGCCGUUGACACCGCUAGAUGAUGGGUUGGUCGACGACAACGGGGGCCGUCCGCCGAGAAGGGAGCCGUCAAAUCAGCAGGCCUGACAGGUCGAGCUCCCAACAAACUAAGCUAGCCAAGUACUCGUAAGUACCAGUACACGUUCUUCUCUUGUACGUCUUGAGAAAAAAAGUUUGGACGAGCUACUGAAUGCACGAGCCUUAGCAUGUUAAGCCAGGCCAGCGUGCACGACAAGGCAAGGCAAAAGGUGGCUACAUCUCUUUUUUUUACAGCUUCGGCACGCCGGCCCCUGUCGGCUUGAUUUUUUUUCAUGAAGUACCUUCGAAAAACAGGGGGGAAAGUGAAAAAAUAUAUUGAAAAUUUAAAAAACGGUGAAGUAUUAUGUGGGAUAAAUGUAAAGCGCCUACAUCGUAAAAACCUUCCAUCUCAAAGAAGUAAAAGAAAAUACAAGACAUGCUCUAGAAUUAUAAAAGAAUUACAAAAACUACAAUGACUACACUAUAACAGUUCAACUACUCAGAUCUAGCACUAAUAAAAUACGUAUGCAAUAUUGAACAUAUUAGAGUAUUAGGCAUUUAUAUAGGACAUAUAUAUUUAUAUAUUUCAAGAAAAAAUAAACGGGUCAUGUUGUUCCGGCCCACGUGCCACUAGUGCAGAACCGGGCUAUAGCACCGGUUCGUAAGGCCCUUUGGUGCCGGUUCUGUAACCGGCACUAAAGGGUGGGGACUAAAGGUCCCCCCCUUUAGUACCGGUUCAACACGAACCGCCACUAAAGGGCCACCACGUGGCACGUUCCAGCGCCGGGGGCGGGGAGACCUUUAGUACCGGUUUGUAACACCAAUCAGUACUAAAAGGUUUGGGGGGUUUUGUUUUAUUAUUUAUUUUUCCUCUAAUUUUGUGUUUUCCAAUUAAUUUAGAGAUUGUUUUUACAUUAUAAUAAGUUAUUAAAUCACUAGGUGAAGGAACCGCGGAUUAGUUUCAACUGGAUGGAUCCUAAACUAAUCCGCGGUUCUUUCAUAAAUGAUAUAAUAACUCAUCAUCAUCAUCAUCGUCAUCAUCAUAUUAAUAUAAAAACUCUUGCAUAAUAUCAUCACCAACAACACUAGCUAAUAAUCAUCAUAGUCAUUACCACUAUUUAAUCAUCAUAUAGUCAUUACCGCUACACCACCAACACUAGCUUAAAAAAGAAACAUUCAAUUGUAUCAGAAGCAAAGAUAUCAUGGAGUUCAACAUGGUCAUGAGAUUAUAAGCGUUCAUAAGACCACAGAAGCAAAUCACACUUUGAGAUAGAUUAAGUUCAGGACGAAGAACACGGGCAUGAGAGGAUAAAGUACUAAGAGCAGGAACUAGCUAAUCACUCCUGUUGCUCUCUCUCAGGUAAAAUAGCAUAGAACAUGUGUAGCUCUCAUGAUUCAUCAUAUUGGAGCAUGCAGAUGAACCUGUCUCCCAAUCGUGGGCUGCGCUUCUGAUUGCUGCCCCCUAGUACUUCUCUGCGAUCGUUCACAAUUUUGCUCCAGUCUUUCACUAUUAAGCAUUCCUCGGUUUUAGAAAUCCUGAAUGCACUCAUGUGAGAUGUAGGAUGUCUUGGCCGUAAGCUAACCAUUGACAUGCGACCUUUAGUCCCGAUCCACUGAGGCACAACUAUCAUCGGGAGUCCCUGUUGAAGAACAUCGUAUAGUAACAUACUUAGCAAUGAAGUUUAGCUUGAAAAAUAAUGUAUGCAAAAGAUGCACUGAUGACAUAUAGUAAAAAUCUUACCAUCUUUCCUAAAUAGAUGUGACCGUAGUUCAAUACGAUCACUAUUGGUCGUACGUUUUGAGUACUAAGAUUUUCAAAUUCAGGAAAAUAAUUUCUCUUGACAGCAUCAAGAUCCUCAAGCCAUGAAACAUAAUGACUUAUCUCCUCGCAGUUUAGUUCAGCCCCGGGACAGUGGACAGUCCUGUCUACCAAGCGCUGGACAUGUUUGCUUGAAUGGAAAUAAGCUGUCAUCAAUAGAAAUUAGUUGUCAACUAUUUUUGAAUAAAUAAUAUCGAAGACAUAAAUAUAUGGUUGAGAAACUCACAUAAUGGUAGAACUGGAGGCGUCUGCACAUUGACCCAGAUGUCCUAUUACCUUCAGUAUCAUCUUCCGGACGAAUAUCAAAUGUGAUAACCAUGUCAGGCUCAGAUGCAUAAGCCUUACAUAGGGCUUGCCAAGUUUUGCAUUCAAAAUAGGUGUAGGUGUCUGCAUUGUAUAAUUUGACGUCGAAAGUAGAACCAUGCUCGGUCUUCAGGUAAAGUCUCUUUACCUCCAUAGUUUUGUUAGGAUUGAAACCUAUCUUAUCCAAGACAAAAAUUCUUGCAUGGCAGGGAAUACGCUAGUAGAAUAGUAAAAAUUAAAAUUAUAAGUUGAAGCAAAUGAAGCAUACGUCAUGCUUAAUUAUGAAAAAGACUUGUCGUUGUGACUUACUGUAUCCACUUCGAAGGUCUCAUCCAGCUUGAUGUUGAAACGUCUAUCAUCAACUAGUAAAUUUCUGUCGCACAGGCCGCACUCGUCUUCGCAGUAUUCACACAUAACGAAAUCAUUUUCGUCGUGAGACAUUUCCUAUGUUCAUAGUUGAAACAUUAAUUGAUAAACACUUACUAGUUUUAUUAAUUCAACUAAUUCAACUAGUUCUAUUAAUUCAACUAAUUCAACUAAGCACUUACUACAAAUAAACUAGUUCUAUUAAUUUUCUUACUAAAAAUAAAGUAGCUAGUUCUAUAUAAUAAAAUUUUAAUUAGAUGAUCAAAUCUCAUAUACCUAAAUNNNNNNNNNNNNNNNNNNNNNNNNNNNNNNNNNNNNNNNNNNNNNNNNNNNNNNNNNNNNNNNNNNNNNNNNNNNNNNNNNNNNNNNNNNNNNNNNNNNNNNNNNNNNNNNNNNNNNNNNNNNNNNNNNNNNNNNNNNNNNNNNNNNNNNNNNNNNNNNNNNNNNNNNNNNNNNNNNNNNNNNNNNNNNNNNNNNNNNNNNNNNNNNNNNNNNNNNNNNNNNNNNNNNNNNNNNNNNNNNNNNNNNNNNNNNNNNNNNNNNNNNNNNNNNNNNNNNNNNNNNNNNNNNNNNNNNNNNNNNNNNNNNNNNNNNNNNNNNNNNNNNNNNNNNNNNNNNNNNNNNNNNNNNNNNNNNNNNNNNNNNNNNNNNNNNNNNNNNNNNNNNNNNNNNNNNNNNNNNNNNNNNNNNNNNNNNNNNNNNNNNNNNNNNNNNNNNNNNNNNNNNNNNNNNNNNNNNNNNNNNNNNNNNNNNNNNNNNNNNNNNNNNNNNNNNNNNNNNNNNNNNNNNNNNNNNNNNNNNNNNNNNNNNNNNNNNNNNNNNNNNNNNNNNNNNNNNNNNNNNNNNNNNNNNNNNNNNNNNNNNNNNNNNNNNNNNNNNNNNNNNNNNNNNNNNNNNNNNNNNNNNNNNNNNNNNNNNNNNNNNNNNNNNNNNNNNNNNNNNNNNNNNNNNNNNNNNNNNNNNNNNNNNNNNNNNNNNNNNNNNNNNNNNNNNNNNNNNNNNNNNNNNNNNNNNNNNNNNNNNNNNNNNNNNNNNNNNNNNNNNNNNNNNNNNNNNNNNNNNNNNGGGGGCGGCGACGGGGACGGGUCAGGGGAGCGGCGCGCGCGCGACGAUGACGUAUGGGGACGGGCGCGCGACGACGACGUACGGGGACGGCGAAGGGGACGGGCUCGCGUGACGGGGACGGGCGCGGCGGUGACGGGGACGCAGGCGCGACGACGAAGAAGCAGAUGAAGAAGAAACUAACCGAAUUUUUCGUGAGUGCUAUAUUUAUAGGAGGGGCUUUUAGUACCGGUUGGAGCCACCAACCAGUAAUAAAGGCCUAUUUUGGCCAGGCCAAGCGGCGGGAAGAGCACCCCUUUAGCACCGGGUCGUGGCAGAAACCGGUACUAAAGACCCCCCCUUUAGUACUAAAGGUGUGCGCUGGCGCAGGUGCGGUUCGGGCAAGUUUAGUCCCACCUCGCUAGCCAGGGGCGCCCGCACCUGCUUAUAAGCCCCGCCGCGGCAGCUAUCUCGAGCUCCUCUCUAUUGCAGGCCUUCUGGGCUUACCUCUGCUUGCAUACCCUGUUGGGCCUACUGGGCUAGCGGGUGAUAACCCACAAGUAUAGGGGAUCGCAACGGUUUUCGAGGGUAGAGUAUUCAACCCAAAUUUAUUGAUUCGACACAAGGGGAGCCAAAGAAUAUUCUCAAGUAUUAGCAGUUAAGUUGUCAAUUCAACCACACGUGGAUAACUUAGUAUCUGCAGCAAAGUAUUUAGUACCAAGUAAUAUGGAAGUAACGGUAACGGUAGCAAAAGUAAUAUUUUUGGGUUUUGUAGUGAUUGUAACAGUAGCAAUGGUAAAGUAAAUAAUCUAAGAACAGUAUGUGAAAAGCUCGUAGGCAUUGGAUCGGUGAUGGAGAAUUAUGCCGGAUGCGGUUCAUCAUGUAACAGUCAUAACAUAGGGUGACACAGAACUAGCUCCAAUUCAUCAAUUUAAUGUAGGCAUGUAUUCCGAAUAUAGUCAUACGUGCUUAUGGAAAAGAGCUUGCAUGUCAUCUUUUGUCCUACCAUCCCGUGGCAGCGGAGUCCUAUUGGAACCUAAGGGAUAUUAAGGCCUUAUUUUAAUAGAGUACCGGACCAAAGCAUUAACACAUAAUGAAUACAUGAACUCCUCAAACUACGGUCAUCACCGGGAGUGGUCCCGAUUAUUGUCACAUCGGGGUUGCCGGAUCAUAACACAUAGUAGGUGACUAUAGACUUGCAAAAUAGGAUCAAGAACUCACAUAUAUUCAUGAAAACAUAAUAGGUUCAGAUCUGAAAUCAUGGCACUCGGGCCCUAGUGACAAGCAUUAAGCAUAGCAAAGUCAUAGCAACAUCAAUCUCAGAACAUAGUGGAUACUAGGGAUCAAACCCUAACAAAACUAACUCGAUUACAUGAUAAAUCUCAUCCAACCCAUCACCGUCCAGCAAGCCUAUGAUGGAAUUACUCACGCACGGCGGUGAGCAUCAUGAAAUUGGUGAUGGAGGAUGGUUGAUGAUGACGACGGCGACGGAUUCCCCUCUCCAGAGCCCCGAACGGACUCCAAAUCAGCCCUCCCGAGAGAGUUUAGGGCUUGGCGGCGGCUCCGUAUCGUAAAACGCGAUGAAUCUUUCUCUCUGAUUUUUUUCUCCCCGAACACGAAUAUAUGGAGUUGGAGUUGAGGUCGGUGGAGCUCCAGGGGGCCCACGAGGCAGGGGGCGCGCCCCCACCCUCGUGGAAAGGGUGUGGCCCCCUGGCCUUGAUUCUUUCGCCAGUAUUUUUUAUUAUUUCCAAAAAUAAUCUCCGUGAAGUUUCAGGUCAUUCCGAGAACUUCUGUUUCUACACAUAAAUAACACCAUGGCAAUUCUGCUGAAAACAGCGUCAGUCCGGGUUAGUUCCAUUCAAAUCAUGCAAGUUAGAGUCCAAAACAAGGGCAUUAGUGUUUGGAAAAGUAGAUACGAUGGAGACGUAUCAACUCCCCCAAGCUUAAACCUUUGCUUGUCCUCAAGCAAUUCAGUUGAUAAACUGAAAGUGAUAAAGAAAAACUUUUACAAACUCUGUUUGCUCUUGUUGUUGUAAAUAUGUAAAGCCAGCAUUCAAGUUUUCAGCAAAGAUUAUGACUAACCAUAUUUACAAUAACACUUAGGUCUCAUGUUUACUCAUGUCAAUGGCAUAAUCAACUAGCGAGCAAUAAUAAUAAAUCUCGGAUGACAACACUUUCUCAAAACAAUCAUGAUAUGAUAUAACAAGAUGGUAUCUCGCUAGCCCUUUCUGAAACCGCAAAACAUAAAUGCAGAGCACCUUUAAAGAUCAAGGACUGACUAAACAUUGUAAUUCAUGGUAAAAGAGAUCUAGUCAUAGUCAUACCCAGUAUAAAUUAAUAGUAACGGAUGCAAAUGACAGCGGUGCUCUCCAGCUGGUGCUUUUUAAUAAGAGGGCGAUGAGUCAACAUAAAAGUAAAUAGAUAGGCCCUUCGCAGAGGGAAGCAGGGAUUUGUAGAGGUGCCAGAGCUCGAUUUUUGAAAUAGAGAUAAAUAAUAUUUUGAGCGGCAUACUUUCAUUGUCACAUAACAACCAAGAGAUGGCGAUAUCUUCCAUGCUUCACACAUUAUAGGCGGUUCCCAAACAGAAUGGUAAAGUUUAUACUCCCCCUCCACCAACAAGCAUCAAUCCAUGGCUUGCUCGAAACAACGAGUGCCUCCAACUAACAACAGUCCCGGGGGAGUUUUGUUUGCAAUUAUUUUGAUUUGAUUUGCAUAAAGCAUGGGACUGGGCAUCCCGGUGACCAGCCAUUUUCUCGUGAGUGAGGAGCGGAGUCCACUCCUCUUGAGAAUAACCCGCCUAACAUGGAAGAUACAGACAACCCUAGUUGAUACAUGAGCUAUUCGAGCAUACAAAACAGGAUUUCAUUUGAAGGUUUAGAGUUUGGCACAUACAAAUUUACUUGGAACGGCAGGUAGAUACCGUAUAUAGGAAGGUAUGGUGGACUCAUAUGGAAUAACUUUGGGGUUUAAGGGAUUGGAUGCACAAGCAGUAUUCCCGCUUAGUACAAGUGAAGGCUAGCAAAAGACUGGGAAGCGACCAACUAGAGAGCGACAACAGUCACGAACAUGCAUUAAAAUUAAUAAACAUUGAGUGCAAGCAUGAGUAGGAUAUAAUCCACGAUGAACAUAAAUAUUGUGAAGGCUAUGUUGAUUUGUUUCAACUACAUGUGUGAACAUGUGCCAAGUCAAGUCACUUGAAUCAUUCAAAGGAGGAUACCACCCCAUCAUACCACAUCACAACCAUCUUAAUAGCAUGUUGGCACGCAAGGUAAACCAUUAUAAGCUCCUAGCUAAUUAAGCAUGGCAUAAGCAACUAUAAUCUCUAAUUGUCAUUGGAAACAUGUUUAUUCAUAACAGGCUGAAUCAGGAACGAUGAACUAAUCAUAUUUACAAAAACAAGAGAGGCCAAGUUCAUACCAGCUUCUCUCAUCUCAAUCAGUCCAUCAUAGAUCGUCAUAAUUGCCUUUCACUUACACGACCGAAUGAUGUGAAUAAUAAUAAUAGUGCACGUGCAUUGGACUAAGCUGGAAUCUGCGAGCAUUCAAUAAAUAGGAGAAGACAAGGCAAUAUGGGCUCUUGGUUAAAUCAACAAUAAUGUAUAUAAGAGCCACUUUAACAAUUUCAUUAUGGUCUUCUCCUAUCGACCCCCAAAGGAAAGGAAAGAAAUAAAACUAUUUAUACGGGAAAGCUCCCAACAAGCAAAAGAAGAACGGGAAAUCUUUUUGGGUUUUCUUUUAAUUAUUACUACUACAGUAAGAAAAGUAAACUAGCUAAAAGCUACAACUAAUUUUUUUGUUUUCUUAAAGUUUUUCAAACACACAAGAAGAAAGCAUAAAAAGGAAAAUAAACUAGCAUGGAUAUUACAGUGAAAAGGUAUGAGCACCAACAACUAGCAAUGAGUGUGUGAACAUGAAUGUAAUGUCGGUCAGAAAUACGUACUCCCCCAAGCUUAGGCUUUUGGCCUAAGUUGGUCUAUUGCCACGGGUGGCCUGGCGGAUAUCCAAAGUUAUAGUUGGAGUCGUACUGAGAUGCAGCGGCUAUUGCAUCGUGGGCUGCAGCUUGGAGGCGGGCUAUCUCAGCCCUCCUCUUAUACUCAUCCGCCUCCUCUCUGGUUAUGUAAUAUCUCCCCUUUGCCUGAAAGUCAAAGAAGGUAGAAGCAGGGAGAACGACGUGAUAGGUGCGUCGUCUGUCAAAGAUUAGUCGGUACUGAUCGUUCCUCUCAACAAACUGAUGACGAACCAUAGCCUCAUAAUCUAAAUAAACAGGAGGCAACUUAAUAUCAUCCUCACGUAUGCUCACACCAAGAAAAAUAGCUAAACGGGUUGCAUAAAUUCCACCAAAGAAAUCUCCAUUAAAUCUAUUAUUAUGCAACCUACGUGCAACAAUGGCUCCCAAAUUAUAAUGUUUAUCUCCUAACACAGCACUCCUGAGAACACUGAGGUCAGGGACACACAUGUGACAUACUUCAUCCUUACCAUUUAUGCACCUACCUAUGAAGAGAGCAAAAUAAUGUAUAGCCGGAAAAUGAAUGCUCCCUAUGGUAGCUUGUGCUAUGCCUCUAGAUUCCCCUACAAUUAUACUAGCAAGAAAAUCUCUAAAUUCAGAUUUGCGAGGUUCACAAGUACUACCCCAUUGUGGAAGUUUGCAAGCAGUGGUAAAAUCCUCUAAGUCCAUAGUAUAAGAAUUUUCAUAAAGAUCAAACAUGACAGUUUGAGAAUUGCGUGAAGAUGAAAAUUCAAACCUCCUCACAAAGGAACUAGUGCGAUAGUGAUACUGACGGCACUUAUCUACCUCGAAGCUCACAAGAUCAGCGUUACACAUAUAUGCGUUAAAUUCUUCCUUGAUUCCUGCUUGAUCCAUGAAGUCCUCGGAAGGCCAUUCACAAGCCCGUACUGGAGCGUCCCUUGGUGGUUCAUCAUCAGCAUCGUGCAUUGCAAGCCUGGGUCCUUGCUUCCUUGAAGAACCACCUUGGUACAUUUUCCUAAACAUAUUUCUUCCUCUGAAAAAUUUCUGAAAUUUUUAGUAACUUCAAAUAAAAGUGAACCAAGCUCAAAAAAUUGAUAGCAACUACUCCGACAAGUGCCUAGAGACUAUAUCAUGCAUUAGAACUACUUGGAACCAUAGAAAUUUGACAUGCAAGCUCAAGAACAUGGUCACCUAGGCAACAGAAAUUUGCAAUGAAUAAAGCACUAGAACAAAAACUAGUUGGACCAAUGGAGGAGUCACAUACCAAGGAACAACCCCCCAAAGAAGUUUUGUGAGAGGUGCUUUGAGCAAGGAGAUCGAAAAUCGCAGCAAAAUGAGCUAGAACUUGUGCUUGAGCUGGCUGGUGAUUUUUUUGGGAGGAAGAAGAAGUGUGUGGGUGCAGGAAUAAGUGAAGGGGAGCCACCAUGGGCACACGAGGCAGGGGGGCGCACCCUGGACCCUCGUGCCCAGGUGCUUGCUCCCCCUGCUGUGUUCUCAGUGCCAGAUAUUCUCAAAUAUUCCAGAAAAAAUCAUAUUUCAAUUUCAGGGCAUUUGGAGAACUUUUAUUUUCGGGGUAUUUUUAUAUUGCACGGAUAAUUCAGAAAACAGAUAGAAAAUACUAUUUUUUGCUUUAUUUAAUCUAAUUAACAGAAAGUAAAAGGAGGGCACAGAAGGUUGUGCCUUCUAACUUCAUCCAUCUCAUGCUCAUCAAAAGGAAUCCACUAACAAGGUUGAUCAGGUCUUGUUAACAAACUCAUUUCGAAUAACACGAAACCAGAGAAAUUUUGAAUAACACUAUGUUACCUCAACAGGGAUAUGCACAUCCCCAAUUAUAAGAAUAUCAUAUUUCUUCUUGACAGUUGGUAAAGGAAAUUCAAAACCUCCAAUAAUAAUCGAUGGAAUUUUUCCAAUAGAAUUGAUACUGUGGACUUGAGGUUGUUUCCUUGGAAAGUGUACCGUAUGCUCAUUACCAUUAACAUGAAAAGUGACAUUGCCUUUAUUGCAAUCAAUAACAACCCCUGCAGUAUUCAAAAAGGGUCUUCCAAGAAUAAUAGACAUACUAUCAUCCUCGGGAAUAUCAAGAAUAACAAAGUCUGUUAAAAUAGUGACGUUUGCAACCACAACAGGCACGUCCUCACAAAUACUGACAAGUAUAGCAGUUGAUUUAUCAACCAUUUGCAAAGAUAUUUCAGUAGGUGUCAACUUAUUCAAAUCAAGUCUACGAUAUAAAGAGAGAGGCAUAACACUAACACCGGCUCCAAGAUCACAUAAAGCAGUUCUAACAUAGUUUCUUUUAAUGGAGCAUGGUAUAGUGGGUACUCCUGGAUCUCCAAGUUUCUUAGGUAUUCCACCCUUAAAAGUAUAAUUAGCAAGCAUGGUGGAAAUUUCAGCUUCCGGUAUCUUUCUAUUAUUAGUAACAAUAUCCUUCAUAUACUUGGCAUAGGGAUUCAUUUUAAGCAUAUCAGUCAAACACAUACGCAAAAAGAUAGGUCUAAUCAUUUCAGCAAAGAGCUCAAAAUCCUCAUCAUCCUUUUUCUUGGAUGGUUUAGGAGGAAAAGGCAUGGGUUUCUGAACCCAUGGUUCUCUUUCUUUACCGUGCUUCCUAGCAACAAAGUCUCUCUUAUCAUAACGUUGAUUCUUUGAUUGUGGGUUAUCAAGAUCAACAGCAGGUUCAAUUUCUACAUCAUUGUCAUUACUAGGUUGAGCAUCAAUAUGAACAUCAUCAUUAACAUUAUCACUAGGUUCAUGUUCAUCACCAGAUUGUGUUUCAGCAUCAGAAAUAGAAAUAGCAUUGGGAUUUUCAGGUGUGUCAAUAGCAGGUUCACUAGAAGAAUGCAAAGUCCUAUCAUUUUUAUUUUUCUUAUUUUUAGAAGGAAUAGGUGCAUCAACAUUUGUUCUCUGAGAAUCCUGCUCAAUUCUCUUAGGGCGACCUUCAGGAUACAAAGGUUCCUGAGUCACUUUACCCCCUCUAGUUGCAAUUCUAACACCAAAGUCAUUAUUCUUACUAUUCAAUUCAUUGAGCAAGUCAUUCUGAGCUUUAAGUACUUGUUCUACUUGGGUGGUAACCAUAGAAGCAUGUUUACUAAUGAGUUUAAGUUCACCUUUAACUCUAGACAUAUAAUCACUCAAGUGUUCAAUCAUAUAAGCAUUGCGUUUUAAUUCUCUGCCAAAAUAAGCAUUGAAGUUUUCUUGCUUAACCAUAAAGUUAUCAAACUCAUCUAAGCAUUGGCUAGCAAAUUUAGUAGGCGGGAUUUCAGCUUUAUCAUAUCUAUAGAGAGAAUUUACCUUUACUACCUAUGUCGGGUUAUCAAGACCAUGUGUUUCUUCAACAGGCGGCAAGUUAAGACCAUGUAUUUCUUCAAUAGGUGGUAAAUUCUUAACAUCUUCAGCUUUAAUACCUUUUUCUUUCAUAGAUUUCUUUGCCUCUUGCAUAUCUUCAGGACUGAGAAAUAGAAUACCCCUUUUCUUCGGAGUUGGCUCAGGAGUUGGUUCAGGAAGUGUCCAAUUAUUUUCAUUAGUCAACAUAUUAUUCAAUAGAAUUUCAGCUUGAUCAACAGUUCUUUCCCUGAAAACACAACCAGCACAACUAUCCAGGUGGUCUCUGGAAGCAUCGGUUAGUCCAUUAUAAAAGAUAUCAAGUAUUUCAUUUUUCUUGAGAGGAUGAUUAGGCAAAGCAUUAAGUAAUUGGAGAAGCCUCCCCCAAGCUUGUGGGAGACUCUCUUCUUCAAUUUGCACAAAAUUAUAUAUUUCCCUUAAAGCAGCUUGUUUCUUAUGAGCGGGGAAGUAUUUAGCAGAGAAGUAAUAAACCAUAUCCUGGGGACUACGCACACAACCAGGAUCAAGAGAAUUAAACCAUAUCUUAGCAUCACCCUUUAAUGAGAACGGAAAUAUCUUAAGGAUAUAAUAGUAGCGAGUUUUCUCAUCAUUAGUGAACAGGGUGGCUAUAUCAUUUAAUUUAGUAAGAUGUGCCACAACAGUUUCAGAUUCAUAGCCAUAGAAGGGAUCAGAUUCAACCAAAGUAAUUAUCUCAGUAUCAAUAGAGAAUUCAUAAUCCUUAUCAGUAACAAAGAUAGGUGAAGUAGCAUAAGCAGGAUCAUAUUUCAUUCUAGCAUUAAGAGUUUAUUCUUUAAGCUUAGCUAAUAAUUUCUUAAGAUCACUUCUAUCAUUGCAAGCAAGAAAGUCUCUAGCAGUUUCUUUAUCCAUAACAUAGCCCUCAGGCACAACAGGCAAUUCAUAUUUAGGGGGAGAAUCUUCAUCAUCACUUUCAUCAAUAUUAUCAGUUUCAAUAGUUUCAUUCUCUCUAGCCCUAGCAAGUUGUUCAUCUAGAAAUUCACCAAGUGGCACAGUAGUAUCAAGCAUAGAAGUAGUUUCAUCAUAAGUAUCAUGCAUAGCAGAAGUGGCAUCAUCAAUAACAUGCGACAUAUUAGAAUUAAUAGCAGAAGCAGGUUUAGGUGUCACAAGCUUACUCAAAACGGAAGGUGAAUCAAGUGCAGAGCUAGAUGGCAGUUCCUUACCUCCCCUCGUAGUUGAGGGAUAAAUUUUGGUUUUCUCGUCUUCCAAGUUCCUCAUAGUGACCAGCAGAUAUAAAUCCCAAGUAACUCAAAGAAUGGAGCUAUGCUCCCCCGCAACAGCGCCAGAAAAUAGUCUUGAUAACCCACAAGUAUAGGGGAUCGCAACAGUUUUCGAUGGUAGAGUAUUCAACCCAAAUUUAUUGAUUCGACACAAGGGGAGCCAAAGAAUAUUCUCAAGUAUUAGCAGUUGAGUUGUCAAUUCAACCACACCUGGAUAACUUAGUAUCUUCAGCAAAGUAUUUAGUAGCAAAGUAAUAUGGAAGUAACGGUAACGGUAGCAAAAGUAAUAUUUUUGGGUUUUGUAGUGAUUGUAACAGUAGCAACGGUAAAGUAAAUAAGAUGGAAAAAGUAUGUGAAAAGCUCAUAGGCAUUGGAUCGGUGAUGGAGAAUUAUGCCGGAUGCGGUUCAUCAUGAAACAGUCAUAACAUAGGGUGACACAGAACUAGCUCCAAUUCAUCAAUGUAAUGUAGACAUGUAUUCCGAAUAUAGUCAUACGUGCUUAUGGAAAAGAACUUGCAUGACAUCUUUUGUCCUACCUGUUGGGGAACGUAGUAAUUUCAAAAAAAUUCCUACGCACACAUAGGAUCAUGGUGAUGCAUAGCAACGAGAGGGGAGAGUGUGUCCACGUACCCUUGUAGACCGAAAGCAGAAGCGUUAGAACAACGCGGUUGAUGUAGUCGUACGUCUUCACGAUCCGACCGAUCCAAGUACCGAACGUACGGCACCUCCGAGUUCAGCACACGUUCAGCUCGAUGACGUCCCGCGAACUCCGAUCCAGCAGAGCUUCACGGGAGAGUUCCGUCAGCACGACGGCGUGAUGACGGUGAUGAUGUUGCUACCGACGCAGGGCUUCGCCCAAGAACCGCUACGAUAUGACCGAGGUGGAAUAUGGUGGAGGGGGGCACCGCACACGGCCGGGAGAGAUCAAGAGAUCAACUUGUGUGUUCUAGGGUGCCCCAUGCCCCCGUAUAUAAAGGAGCAAGGGGGAGGCCGGCCGGCCCCUGUAGGGCGCGCCAGGAGGAGGACUCCUCCUCCUACUAGGAGUAGGACUCCCCUUUCCUACUCCUACUAGGAGGAGGAAAGGAAGGAGGAGAAGGAGAAGGAAGGAGAGGGAGGAAAAGGAGGAAAGGGGGGCCGGCCCCCUAGUCCAAUUCGGUUUGGGCUAGGGGGGCCGCGCGCCCUCCCUCCUCUCUUCCACCACUUGGCCCGUGAGGCCCAUUACUUCUUCCUCGUAUUCCCGUAACUCCCCGGUACCCCCGAAAAUACCCGAAUCACUCGGAACCUUUCCGAUGUCCGAAUAUAGUCGUCCAAUAUAUCGAUCUUUACGUCUCGACCAUUUCGAGACUCCUCGUCGUGUCCCUGAUCUCAUCCGGGACUCCGAACUACCUUCGGUACAUCAAAUCACAUAAACUCAUAAUACCGAUCGUCACAGAACUUUAAGCGUGCGGACCCUACGGGUUCGAGAACUAUGUAGACAUGACUGAGACACGUCUCCGGUCAAUAACCAAUAGCAGAACAUGGAUGCUCAUAUUGGCUCCCACAUAUUCUACGAAGAUCUUUAUCGGUCAAACCGCAUAACAACAUACGUUGUUCCCUUUGUCAUCGCUAUGUUACUUGCCCGAGAUUCUAUCGUCGGUAUCUCAAUACCUAGUUCAAUCUCGUUACCGGCAAGUCUCUUUACUCGUUCCGUAAUACAUCAUCCCGCAACUAACUCAUUAGUUACAAUGCUUGCAAGGCUUAUAGUGAUGUGUAUUACCGAGUGGGCCCAGAGAUACCUCUCCGACAAUCGGAGUGACAAAUCCUAAUCUCGAAAUACGCCAACUCAACAAGUACCUUCAGAGACACCUGUAGAGCACCUUUAUAAUCACCCAGUUACGUUGUGACGUUUGGUAGCACACAAAGUGUUCCUCCGUUUAACGGGAGUUGCAUAAUCUCAUAGUCAUAGGAACAUGUAUAAGUCAUGAAGAAAGCUAUAACAACAUACUAAACGAUCAAGUGCUAAGCUAACGGAAUGGGUCAAGUCAAUCACAUCAUUCUCCUAAUGAUGUGAUCCCGUUAAUCAAAUGACAACUCAUGUCUAUGGCUAGGAAACAUAACCAUCUUUGAUCAACAAGCUAGUUAAGUAGAGGCAUACUAGUGACACUCUGUUUGUCUAUGUAUUCACACAUGUAUCAUGUUUCCGGUUAAUACAAUUCUAGCAUGAAUAAUAAACAUUUAUCAUGGUAUAAGGAAAUAAAUAAUAACUUUAUUAUUGCCUCUAGGGCAUAUUUCCUUCAGUCUCCCACUUGCACUAGAGUCAAUAAUCUAGAGCACAUCGCCAUGUGAUUUAACAUCAAUAGUUCACAUCACCAUGUGAUUAACACCCAUAGUUCACAUCGUCAUGUGAUGAACACCCAAAGGGUUACUAGAGUCAAUAAUCUAGUUCACAUCGCUAUGUGAUUAACACCCAAAGAGUACUAAGGUGUGAUCAUAUUUUGCUUGUGAGAGAAGUUUAGUCAACGGGUCUGCCAUAUUCAGAUCUGUAUGUAUUUUGCAAAUUUCUAUGUCUACAAUGCUCUGCACGGAGCUACUUUAGCUAAUUGCUCCCACUUUCAAUAUGUAUCCAGAUUAAGAUUUAGAGUCAUCUGGAUCAGUGCCAAAACUUGUAUCGACGUAACCCUUUACGACGAACCUUUUGUCACCUCCAUAAUCGAGAAACAUAUCCUUAUUCCACUAAGGAUAAUUUUGACCGCUGUUCAGUGAUCUACUCCUAGAUCACUAUUGUACUCCCUUACCAAAAUUAGUGUAGGGUAUACAAUAGAUCUGGUACACAGCAUGGCAUACUUUAUAGAACCUAUGGCCGAGGCAUAGGGAAUGACUUUCAUUUUCUUUCUAUCUUCUACCGUGGUCGGGCUUUGAGUCUUACUCAAUUUCACACCUUGUAACAAAGGCAAGAACUCUUUCUUUGACUGUUCCAUUUUGAACUACUUCAAAAUCUUGUCAAGGUAUGUACUCAUUGAAAAAACUUAUCAAGCGUCUUGAUCUAUCUCUAUAGAUCUUGAUGCUCAAUAUGUAAGCAGCUUUACUGAGGUCUUUCUUUGAAAAACUCCUUUCAAACACUCCUUUAUGCUUUGCAGAAUAAUUCUACAUUAUUUCCGAUCAACAAUAUGUCAUUCACAUAUACUUAUCAGAAAUGUUGAAGUGCUCCCACUCACUUUCUUGUAAAUACAGGCUUUACCGCAAGUCUGUAUAAAACUAUAUGCUUUGAUCAAUUUAUCAAAGCGUAUAUUCCAACUCCGAGAUGAUUGCACUAGUCCAUAGAUGGAUUGCUGGAGCUUGCAUACUUUGUUAGCACCUUUAGGAUUGACAAAACCUUCUUGUUGCAUCAUAUACAACUCUUCUUUAAUAAAUCCAUUAAGGAAUGCAGUUUUGUUUAUCCAUUCGCCAGAUUUCAUAAAAUGCGGCAAUUGCUAACAUGAUUCGGACAGACUUAAGCAUAGAUACGAGUGAGAAACUCUCAUCGUAGUCAACACCUUGAACUUGUCGAAAACCUUUUUGCGACAAUUCUAGCUUUGUAGAUAGUAACACUACUAUCAAGGUCCGUCUUCCUCUUGAAGAUCCAUUUAUUUUCUAUGGCUUGCCGAUCAUCGGGCAAGUUAACCAAAGUCCACACUUUGUUCUCAUACAUGGAUCCCUUCUCAGAUUUCAUGGCCUCAAGCCAUUUUGCGGAAUCUGGGCUCAUCAUCGCUUCCUCAUAGUUCGUAGGCUCGUCAUGGUCAAGUAACAUGACCUCCAGAACAGGAUUACCGUACCACUCUGGUGCGGAUCUCACUCUGGUUUACCUACGAGGUUUGGUAGUAACUUGAUCUGAAGUUACAUGAUCAUCAUCAUCAGCUUCCUCACUAAUUGGUGUAGGAGUCACAGGAACAAAUUUCUGUGAUGAACUAUUUUCCAUUAAGGGAGCAGGUACAGUUACCUCAUCAAGUUCUACUUUCCUCCCACUCACUUCUUUUGAGAGAAACUCCUUCUCUAGAAAGGAUCCAUUCUUAGCAACGAAUGUCUUACCUUCGGAUCUGUGAUAGAAGGUGUACCCAACUGUCUUCUUUGGGUAUCCUAUGAAGACACAAUUCUCCGAUUUGGGUUUGAGCUUAUCAGGAUGAAAACUUUUUCACAUAAGCAUCGCAACCCCAAACUUCAAGAAACGACAGCUUAGGUUUCUUGCUAAACCACAGUUCAUACGGUGUCGUCUCAACAGAUUUAGAUGGUGCCCCUUUUUUAACGUGAAUGCAGUUGUCUCUAUUGCAUAACCCCAAAAUGAUAGUGGUAAAUCGGUAAGAAACAUCAUAGAUUGCACUAUAUCCAAUAAAGUACGGUUAUGACGUUCGGACACACCAUUAUGCUGUGGUGUUCCAGGUGGCACGAAUUUGUGAAACUAUUCCACAUUGUUUUAAUUGAAGACCAAACUCGUAACUCAAAUAUUCAUCUCCGUGAUCAGAUUGUAGAUACUUUAUUUUCUUGUCACGAUGAUUUUCCACUUCACUCUGGAAUUCUUUGAACUUUUCAAAUGUUUCAGACUUAUGUUUCAUCAAGUAGAUAUACCUAUAUCUGCUCAAAUCAUCUGUGAAGGUCAGAAAAUAACUAUACCCGCCGCAAGCCUCAAUACUCAUCGGACUGUAUACAUCAGUAUGUAUUAUUUCCAACAAGUUUGUUGCUUGCUCCAUAGUUCCGGAGAACGGCGUUUUAGUCAUCUUGCCCAUGAGGCAUGGUUCGUAAGUACCAAGUGAUUCAUAAUCAAGUGAUUCCAAAAGUCCAUCGGAAUGGAGUUUCUUCAUGCGCUUUACACCAAUAUGACCUAAACGGCAGUGCCACUAAUAAGUUGCACUAUCAUUAUUAACUUUGCAUCUUUUGGCUUCAAUAUUAUGAAUAUGUGUAUCACUACGAUCGAGAUCCAACAAACCAUUUUCAUUGGGUGUAUGACCAUAGAAGGUUUUAUUCAUGUAAACAGAACAACAGUUGUUCUCUAACUUAAAUGAAUAACCGUAUUGCAAUAAACAUGAUCAAAUCAUAUUCAUGCUCAACUUAAACACAAAAUAACACUUAUUUAGGUUCAACACUAAUCCCGAAAGUAUAGGGAGUGUGCGAUGAUGAUCGUAUCAAUCUUGGAACCAUUUCCAACACACAUCGUCACUUCACCCUUAACUAGUCUCUGUUCAUUCUGCAACUCCCGUUUCGAGUUACUAAUCUUAGCAACUGAACUAGUAUCAAAUACUGAGGGGUUUCUAUAAACACUAGUAAAGUACACAUCAAUAAUAUGUAUAUAAAAUAUACCUUUGUUUACUUUGCCUUCCUUCUUAUCCGCCAAAUACUUGGGGCAGUUCCGCUUCCACUGACCAGCCCCUUUGCAGUAGAAGCACUUAGUCUCAGGCUUAGGUCCAGACUUCGGUUUCUUCACUUGAGCAGCAACUUGCUUGCCGUUCUUCUUGAAGUUCCCCUUCUUCCCUUUGCCCUUUUAUUGAAACUAGUGGUCUUGUCAACCAUCAACACUUGAUGUUUUUCUUGAUUUCUACCUUCGUCGAUUUCAGCAUCACGAAGAGCUUGGGAAUCGUUUCCGUUAUCCCUUGCAUAUUAUAGUUCAUCACGAAGUUCUAGUAACUUGGUGAUAGUGACUAGAGAAUUCUGUCAAUCACUAUCUUAUCUGGAAGAUUAACUCCCACUUGAUUCAAGUGAUUGUAGUACUCAGACAUUCUGAGCACAUGCUUACUAGCCGAGCAAUUCUCCUCCAUCUUGUAGGCAAAGUACUUUUCAAAGGUCUCAUACCUUUCGACAUGGGCAUGAGUCUGAAAUACUAAUUUCAACUCUUGGAACAUCUCAUAUGCUCUGUGGCGUUUCAAAAACGUCUUUGAAGCCCCGAUUCUAAGCCGUAAAGCAUGGUGCACUAAACUAUCAAGUAGUCAUCAUAUCGAGCUUGCCAAACGUUCAUAACGUCUGCAUUUGCUCCUGCAAUCGGUGUGUCACCUAGCGGUGCAUCAAGGACAUAAUUCUUCUGUGCAGCAAUGAGGAUAAUCCUCAGAUCACGGAUCCAAUCCGCAUCAUUGCUAUUAACAUCUUUCAACUUAGUUUUCUCUAGGAACAUAUCAAAAAUAAAACAGGGGAGCUAAACGUGAGCUAUUGAUCUACAACAUAGAUAUACUAAUACUACCAGGACUAAGUUCAUGAUAAAUUAAAGUUCAAUUAAUCAUAUUACUUAAGAACUCCCACUUAGAUAGACAUCCCUCUAAUCAUCUAAGUGAUCACGUGAUCCAAAUCAACUAAACCAUGUCCGAUCAUCACGUGAGAUGGAGUAGUUUUCAAUGGUGAACAUCACUAUGUUGAUCAUAUCUACUAUAUGAUUCACGCUCGACCUUUCGGUCUCAGUGUUCCGAGGCCAUAUCUGCAUAUGCUAGGCUCGUCAAGUUUAAACUAAGUAUUCCGCGUGUGCAAAACUGUCUUGCACCCGUUGUAUUUGAACGUAGAGCCUAUCACACCCGAUCAUCACGUGGUUUCUCAGCAGGAAGAACUUUCGCAAUGAUGCAUGCUCAGGGAGAACACUUAUACCUUGAAAUUUAGUGAGAGAUCAUCUUAUAAUGCUACCGUCGAUCUAAACAAAAUAAGAUGCAUAAACGAUAAACAUCACAUGCAGUCAAUAUAAGUGAUAUGAUAUGGCCAUCAUCAUCUUGUGCUUGUGAUCUCCAUCUCUGAAGCACCGUCAUGAUCACCAUCAUCACCGGCGCGACACCUUGAUCUCCAUCGUAGCAUCGUUGUCGUCUCGCCAACUAUUGCUUCUACGACUACCGCUUAGUGAUAAAGUAAAGCAAUUACAGGGCGAUUGCAUUGCAUACAAUAAAGCGACAACCAUAUGGCUCCUGCCAGUUGCCGAUAACUCGGUUACAAAAUAUGAUCAUCUCAUACAAUAAAAUAUAGCAUCAUGUCUUGACCAUAUCACAUCACAACAAGCCCUGCAAAAACAAGUUAGACGUCCUCUACUUUGUUGUUGCAAGUUUUACGUGGCUGCUACGGGCUGAGCAAGAACCGUUCUUACCUACGCAUCAAAACUACAACGAUAUUUCGUCAAGUUAGUGUUGUUUUAACCUUCUCAAGGAUCGGGCGUAGCCACACUCGGUUCAACUAAAGUUGGAGAAACUGACACCCGCCAGCCACCUAUGUGCAAAGCACGUCGGUGGAAGCAGUCUCGCGUAAGCGUACGCGUAAUGUCGGUCUAGGCCGCUUCAUCCAAUAAUACCGCCGAACCAAAGUAUGACAUGCUGGUAAGCAGUAUGAUUUGAAUCGCCCACAACUCACUUGUGUCAUACUCGUGCAUAUAACAUCUACGCAUAAAACUAGGCUCUGACACCACUGUUGGGAACGUAGUAGAUUAGAAAAAAUUCCUACGCACACAUAGAAGCAUGGUGAUGCAUAGCAACGAGAGGGGAGAGUGUUGUCCAUGUACCCUCAUAGACCGAAGGCGGAAGCGUUAGAACAACGCGGUUGAUGUAGUCAUACGUCUUCACGAUCCGACAGAUCCAAUUACCGAACGUACGGCACCUCCGAGUUCAGCACACGUUCAACUCGAUGAUGUCCCGCGAACUCCGAUCCAGCAGAGCUUCAUGGAAGAGUUCCGUCAACACGACGGCGUGAUGACGGUGAUGAUGUUGCUACCGACGCAGGAGAUAUCACCAAGGUGGAAUAUGGUGGAGGAGGGCACUGCACACGGCUAGGAGAUAUCAACAUAUCAACUUGUGUGUUCUAGGGUGCCCCCUGCCCCCGUAUACAAAGGAGCAAGGGGGGAGGCCGGCCGGCCCCUGUAGGGCGUGCCAGGAGGAGGAGUCCUCCUCCUAGUAGGAGUAGGACUCCCCUUUCCUACUCCUACUAGGAGGAGGAAAGGAAGGAAGAGAAGGAGAAGGAAGGAGAGGGGGGGGGGAAAGGAGGAAAGGGGGGCCACGCCCCUAGUCCAAUUCGGUUUGGGCUAGGGGGGCGCGCGCCCUGCCUCCUCUCUUCCACCACUUGGCCCAUGAGGCCCAUUACUUCUUCCUCGUAUUCCCGUAACUCCCCGGUACCCCCGAAAAUACCCGAAUCACUCGGAACCUUUACGAUGUCCGAAUAUAGUCGUCCAAUAUAUCGAUCUUUACGUCUCGACCAUUUCGAGACUCCUCGUCGUGUCCCCGAUCUCAUCCGGGACUCCGAACUACCUUCGGUACAUCAAAUCACAUAAACUCAUAAUACCGAUCGUCACAGAACUUUAAGCGUGCGGACCCUACGGGUUCGAGAACUAUGUAGACAUGACUGAGACACGUCUCCGGUCAAUAACCAAUAGCAGCACCUGGAUGCUCAUAUUGGCUCCCACAUAUUCUACGAAGAUCUUUAUCGGUCAAACCGCAUAACAACAUACGUUGUUCCCUUUGUCAUCGCUAUGUUACUUGCCCGAGAUUCGAUCGUCGGUAUCUCAAUACCUAGUUCAAUCUCGUUACCGGCAAGUCUCUUUACUCGUUCCGUAAUACAUCAUCCCGCAACUAACUCAUUAGUUACAAUGCUUGCAAGGCUUAUAGUGAUGUGUAUUACCGAGUGGGCCCAGAGAUACCUCUCCGACAAUCGGAGUGACAAAUCCUAAUCUCGAAAUACGCCAACUCAACAAGUACCUUCAGAGACACCUGUAGAGCACCUUUAUAAUCACCCAGUUACGUUGUGACGUUUGGUAGCACACAAAGUGUUCCUCCGUUUAACGGGAGUUGCAUAAUCUCAUAGUCAUAGGAACAUGUAUAAGUCAUGAAGAAAGCUAUAACAACAUACUAAACGAUCAAGUGCUAAGCUAACGGAAUGGGUCAAGUCAAUCACAUCAUUCUCCUAAUGAUGUGAUCCCGUUAAUCAAAUGACAACUCAUGUCUAUGGCUAGGAAACAUAACCAUCUUUGAUCAACAAGCUAGUCAAGUAGAGGCAUACUAGUGACACUUUGUUUCUCUAUGUAUUCACACAUGUAUCAUGUUUCCGGUUAAUACAAUUCUAGCAUGCAUAAUAAACAUUUAUCAUGAUAUAAGGAAAUAAAUAAUAACUUUCUUAUUGCCUCUAGGGCAUAUUUCCUUCACUACCCUCCCGUGGCAGCGGGGUCCUAUUGGAAACUAAGGGAUAUUAAGGCCUCCUUUUAAUAGAGUACCGGAUCAAAGCAUUAACACAUACUGAAUACAUGAACUCCUCAAACUACGGUCAUCACCGGGAGUGGUCCCGAUUAUUGUCACUUCGGGGUUGCCGGAUCAUAACACAUAGUAGGUGACUAUAGACUUGAAAAAUAGGAUCAAGAACUCACAUAUAUUCAUGAAAACAUAAUAGGUUCAGAUCUGAAAUCAUGGCACUCGGGUCCUAGUGACAAGCAUUAAGCAUAGCAAAGUCAUAGCAACAUCAAUCUCAGAACAUAGUGGAUACGAGGGGUCAAACCCUAACAAAAUUAACUCGAUUACAUGAUAAAUCUCAUCCAACCCAUCACCGUCCAGCAAGCCUACGAUGGAAUUACUCACGCACAGCGGCGAGCAUCAUGAAAUUGGUGAUGAGGAUGGUUGAUGAUGACGACAGUGACGGAUUCCCCUCUCCGGAGCCCCGAACGGAUUCGAGAUCAGCCCUCCCAAGUGAGUUUAGGGCUUGGCGGCAGCUCCGUAUCGUAAAACGCGAUGAAUCUUUCUCUCUGAUUUUUUUCUCCCCGAACACGAAUAUAUGGAGUUGGAGUUAAGGUCGGUGGAGCUCCAGGGGGCCCACGAGUCAGGGGGCGCGCCCCCCACCCUCGUGGAAAGGGUGUGGGCCCCCUGGCCUUGAUUCUUUCGCCGGUAUUUUUAUUAUUACCAAAAAUAAUCUCCAUGAAGUUUCAGGUCAUUCCGAGAACUUUGUUUCUCCACAUAAAUAACACCAUGGCAAUUCUGCUGAAAACAACGUCAGUCCGGGUUAGUUCCAUUCAAAUCAUGCAAGUUAGAGCCAAAACACGGGCAAAAGUGUUUGGAAAAUUAGAUACGAUGGAGACGUAUCUGCGGGCUUGCAUCCUGGCCCAACUACAGGGUGGGUUUCUAGUCGUAUGCAGGCCGUUGUGGCCCAGUAGGCUGGCUUUUUUAUUUAUUUAUUUUUCUUUUCUGCUUUAUUUUCUUUUAUUUAUUUCUGAGUUGUUUUUUGCAGUAUUUAGAGUUUCUUUGUGAAUAUUUUUGCUUUUAGGUCAAAAAAAUUAUAAACUUUCUGUUAGUGCCAUUAGUUUUCAAAUUUGAAUUAUUUGAAAUUUGUGUGAAGCACUAGUUUCUGAAUAACUUUACUUUAAAAAUAGAUUUUUUAGUGAUUCUUUUUUCUUAUGUUUUAUAUUAGUGUGUCUUAUAAUUAUAUUCAACUUGGUAAUACUUAGGUUAUUUAAAAAAUGUAGGGCCUUUGUAACAGAUGUGUUUUCGUCCGAAACCCCGAUACUUCAAAAGUGAUUGUCCAUUUUGUACACGAAGUGCAUCCAGUUUUUUACCGCAACCCUCUCUAAUUUUUUGCACAUGCUAUGUGGGUGAAAUGAUGAUACCAUGCCAAGUUUUAACCUUUUCAUAGUUCAUUUGAAGUGCUUUUCAAUUUCAGGGUAAUUUAGCUCAAAAGAAAUCAGUAAAUGCAUGAAAAAUAGCAAAUGCAGGCAGAAAGGGUUGAAAGCUGAUGACGUGGCUUUCAAUGGUGCAUACUGAACGCACAAAAAGUCUGGAGUUGUAAUAAGUUUAAAAAAUGAAAUGCCUAUGUAACAGAUGAGUUUUCGUCCGAAACCCUAAUACUUCGAAAGAGAUUGUCCAUUUUGUACACGAAGUGCAUCCAGUUUUUGCCGUAACCCUCUCUACUUUUUUGCACAUGCUAUGUGGGUGAAAUGAUGAUACCAUGCCAACUUUCAGCCUUUUCAGAGUUCAUUUGUAGUGCUUUUCAAUUUCAGGGUCAUUUAGCUCAAAAGAAAUCAGUAAAUGCAUGAAAAANNNNNNNNNNNNNNNNNNNNNNNNNNNNNNNNNNNNNNNNNNNNNNNNNNNNNNNNNNNNNNNNNNNNNNNNNNNNNNNNNNNNNNNNNNNNNNNNNNNNNNNNNNNNNNNNNNNNNNNNNNNNNNNNNNNNNNNNNNNNNNNNNNNNNNNNNNNNNNNNNNNNNNNNNNNNNNNNNNNNNNNNNNNNNNNNNNNNNNNNNNNNNNNNNNNNNNNNNNNNNNNNNNNNNNNNNNNNNNNNNNNNNNNNNNNNNNNNNNNNNNNNNNNNNNNNNNNNNNNNNNNNNNNNNNNNNNNNNNNNNNNNNNNNNNNNNNNNNNNNNNNNNNNNNNNNNNNNNNNNNNNNNNNNNNNNNNNNNNNNNNNNNNNNNNNNNNNNNNNNNNNNNNNNNNNNNNNNNNNNNNNNNNNNNNNNNNNNNNNNNNNNNNNNNNNNNNNNNNNNNNNNNNNNNNNNNNNNNNNNNNNNNNNNNNNNNNNNNNNNNNNNNNNNNNNNNNNNNNNNNNNNNNNNNNNNNNNNNNNNNNNNNNNNNNNNNNNNNNNNNNNNNNNNNNNNNNNNNNNNNNNNNNNNNNNNNNNNNNNNNNNNNNNNNNNNNNNNNAAAAUUACCAAAUGAAGGCAGAAAGGGUUGAAAGCUGAUGACCGUGCUUCGAAUGGUGCAUACUGAUCGCACAAAAAGUGUGGAGUUGUAAUAAGUUUAGAAAAAUGAAAUGCCUUUGUAACAGAUGAGUUUUCGUUCGAAACCCUAAUACUUCGAAAGAGAUUGUCCAUGUUGUACACGAAGUGCAUCCAGGUUUUGCCGUAACCCUCUCUACUUUUUUGCACACGCUAUGUGGGUGAAAUGAUGAUACCAUGCCAAGUUUCAACCUUUUCAGAGUUCAUUUGUAGUGCUUUUCAAUUUCCGGGUCCUUUAGCUCAAACAAAUGAGUAAAUGCAUGAAAAAUAGCAAAUGAUGUCAGAAAGGGUUGAAACUUGAUGACGUGGCUUUGAAUGGUGCAUACUGAAUGCACACAAAAAUUCUGGAGUUGUAAUAAGUUUUAAAAAAUGAAGGAGAGGCGCGCAAUGCUCACCUACACGUUGCUUAGCUUUGAAGGAAAUAUGCCCUAGAGGUAAUAAUAAUGUUGUUAUUUAUAUUUCCUUAUAUCAUGAUAAAUGUUUAUUAUUCAUGCUAGAAUUGUAUUAAUCGGAAAUUUAGUACAUGUGUGAAUACAUAGACAAUCAAAGUGUCACUAGUAUGCCUCUACUUGACUAGCUCGUUAAUCAAAGAUGGUUAAGUUUCCUAACCAUAUACAUCAGUUGUCAUUUGAUUAACGGGAUCACAUCAUUAGAGAAUGAUGUGAUUGACAUGACCCAUCCGUUAGCUUAGCACUAUGAUCGUUUAGUUUGUUGCUAUUGCUUUUUCAAGACUCAUACAUGUUCCUAUGACUAUGAGAUUAUGCAACUCCUGAAUACCGGAGGAACACUUAGUGUGCUAUCGAACGUCACAAUGUAACUAGGUGAUUAUAAAGAUGCUCUACAGGUGUUUCCGAUGGUGUUUGUUGAGUUGGCAUAGAUCGAGAUUAGGAUUUGUCACUCCGAUUGUCGGAGAGGUAUCUCUGGGCCCUCUCGGUAAUGCACAUCACUAUAAGCCUUGCAAGCAAUGUGACUAAUGAGUUAGUUGCGGGAUGAUGCAUUACGGAACGAGUAAAGAGACUUGCCGGUAACGAGAUUUAACUAGGUAUUGAGAUACCGAUGAUCGAAUCUCGAGCAAGUAACAUACCGAUGACAAAGGGAACAAUGUAUGUUGUUAUGCGGUUUGACCGAUAAAGAUCUUCGUAGAAUAUGUGGGAGCCAAUAUGAGCAUCCAGGUUCCGCUAUUAGUUAUUGACCAGAGAUAAGUCUCGGUUAUGUCUACAUAGUUCUAUUAAUUCAACUAAGCACUUACUACAAAUAAACUAGUUCUAUUAAUUUUUUACUAAAAAUAAAGUAGCUAGUUCUAUAUAGUAAAUUUUAAUUAGAUGAUCAAAUCUCAUAUACCUAAAUUUAAUAUAUCUAAUUCAUCUAACAUUAAUAUAUCUAAAUUAUCUAUAACUAAAAUUAGUAUAUAAAAAACUAACACAUCUAACAUUAAUAUCUAGCUAAUUCAUCUAAUAUUUGACAUUAAUAUCCAACAUUUCUAUCUAAUUCAUCUAACAUUUGAAAUUAAUAUCUAACAUUUAUAUAUAUCCAUAUAAUCAUCUAACAGUUGACAUUAAUUAAUCUAACAUUUAUAUAAACUAAAAGUAUAAAAAACUAAAAAACAGAAAACACAAAAUAAUUAAGAAAAAUCUGUCUCUGUGUGUACUGUGUGUACAUGUGAGUGUGUACUGUGUGUGUGAGGGCCGCCGGCCAUGGCGCGCGCNNNNNNNNNNGACGACGACGUACGGGGACGGGCGCGCGACGAUGACGUACGGGGACGACGAAGGGGACGGGGACGGGCCCGCGCGACGGGGGCGACGACGGGGACGGGCGCGGCGGCGACGGGGACGCGGGCGCGACGACAAAGAAGCAGAUGAAGAAGAAACUAACUGAAUUUUUCGUAAGUGCUAUAUUUAUAGGAGGGGCCUUUAGUACCGGUUGGAGCCACCAACCGUACUAAAGGCCUAUUUUGGCCAGGCCAAGCGGCGGGAAGAGCACCCCUUUAGCACUGGGUCGUGGCAGAAACCGGUACUAAAGACCCCCCCUUUAUUACUAAAGGUGUGCGCUGGUGCAGGCACGGUGCGGGCAAGUUUAGUCCCACCUCGCUAGCCAGGGGCGCCCGCACCUACUUACAAGCCCCGCCGCGGCAGCUGUCUCGAGCUCCUCUCUAUUGCAGGCCUUCUGGGCUUACCUCUGCUUGCAUACCAUGUUGGGCCUACUGGGCUAGCGGUCCUGCAUCCUCGCCCAACUACAGGUUGGGUUUCUAGUCGUAUGUAGGCCGCUGUGGCCCAGUAGGCUGGCUUUUUUAUUUUUUUAUUUUUCUUUUUUGCUUUAUUUUCUUUCAUUUAUUUCUGAGUUGUUUUUUGCUGUAUUUAGAGUUUCUUUGUGAAUAUUUUUGCUUUUAGGUCAAAAAAUUAUAAACUUUCUGUUAGUGCCAUUAGUUUUCAAAUUUAAAUUAUUUGAAAUUUGUGUGAAUCACUAGUUUCUGAAUAACUUUACUUUAAAAUAGAUUUUUCAGUGAUUCUUUUUUCUUAUGUUUAAUAUUAGUGUGUCUUAUAAUUAUAUUCAAUUUGGUAAUACUUAGGUUAUUUAAAAAAUGUAAUGCCUUUGUAACAGACGAGUUUUCGUCCGAAACCCCGAUACUUCAAAAGAGAUUGUCCAUUUUGUACACGAAGUGCAUCCAGUUUUUUGCGUAACCCUCUCUACUUUUUUGCACAUGCUAUGUGGGUGAAAUGAUGAUACCGUGCCAACUUUCAGCCUUUUCAGACUUCAUUUAUAGUGCUUUUCAAUUUCAGGGUCAUUUAGCUCAAAAAAAUCAGUAAAUGCAUGAAAAAUAGCAAAUGAAGGCAGAAAGGGUUGAAAGCUGAUGAUGUGACUUUGAAUUGUGCAUACUGAACGCACAAAAAGUAUGGAGUUGUAAUAAGUUUUAAAAAAUGUAAUGCCUUUGUAACAGAUGAGUUUUCGUCCGAAACCCUGAUACUUCGAAAGAGAUUGUCCAUCUUAUACGCGAAGUGCAUCCAGUUUUUGCCGUAACCCUCUCUACUUUUCUGCACAUGCUAUGUGGGUGAAAUGAUGAUACCAUGACAACUUUCAGCCUUUUCAGAGUUCAUUUAUAGUGCUUUUCAAUUUCAGGGUCAUUUAGCUCAAAAAAAAUCAGUAAAUGCAUGAAAAAUAGCAAAUGAAGGCAGAAAGGGUUGAAAGCUGAUGACGUGGCUUUGAAUGGUAGAUACUGAACGCACAAAAAGUCUGGAGUUGUAAUAACUUUAGAUAAAUGAAAUGCCUUUGUAACAGAUGAGUUUUCGUUCGAAACUCUAAUACUUCGAAAGAGAUUGUCCAUGUUGUACACGAAGUGCAUCCAGUUUUUGCCGUAACCCUCUCUACUUUUUUGCANNNNNNNNNNNNNNNNNNNNNNNNNNNNNNNNNNNNNNNNNNNNNNNNNNNNNNNNNNNNNNNNNNNNNNNNNNNNNNNNNNNNNNNNNNNNNNNNNNNNNNNNNNNNNNNNNNNNNNNNNNNNNNNNNNNNNNNNNNNNNNNNNNNNNNNNNNNNNNNNNNNNNNNNNNNNNNNNNNNNNNNNNNNNNNNNNNNNNNNNNNNNNNNNNNNNNNNNNNNNNNNNNNNNNNNNNNNNNNNNNNNCUCAUGACGUGGCUUCGAAUGGUGCAUACUGAACGCAGAAAAAGUCUGGAGUUGUAAUAUGUUUAGAAAAAUGAAGUGCCUUUGUAACAGAUGAGUUUUCGUCCGAAACUCUCAUACUUCGAAAGAGAUUGUCCAGUUUGUACAAAAAGUGCAUCCAGUUUUUUCCGUAACCCUAUCUACUUUUUUCCACAUGCUAUGUGGGUGAAAUGAUGAUACCAUGCCAAGUUUCAACCUUUUCAGAGUUCAUUUGAAGUGCUUUUCAAUUUCCAGGUCAUUUAGCUCAAACAAAUCAGUAAAUGCAUGAAAAAUAACAAAUGAUGUCAGAAAGGGUUGAAAGUUGAUGACGUGGCUUUGAAUGGUGCAUACUGAAUGCACACAAAAAUUCUGGAGUUGUAAUAAGUUUAGAAAAAUGAAGGAGAGGCGCGCAAAGCUCACCUGCACGUUGCUUAGCUUUGAAGGAAAUAUGCCCUAGAGGCAAUAAUAAAGUUGUUAUUUAUAUUUCCUUAUAUCAUGAUAAAUGUUUAUUAUUCAUGCUAGAAUUGUAUUAAACGGAAAUUAAGUACAUGUGUGAAUACAUAGACAAACAGAGUGUCACUAGUAUGCCUCUACUUGACUAGCUCGUUAAUCAAAGAUGGUUAAGUUUCCUAGCAAUAGACAUCAGUUGUCAUUUGAUUAACGGGGUCAGAUCAUUCAAGAAUGAUGUGAUUGACAUGACCCAUCCAUUAGCUUAGCACUAUUAUCGUUUAGUUUGUUGCUAUUGCUUUCUUCAUGACUUAUACAUGUUCCUAUGACUAUGAGAUUAUGCAACUCCCGAAUACCGGAGGAACACUUAGUGUGCUAUAGAUAUGUCUCCAACGUAUCUAUAAUUUUUUAUUGUUCCAUGCUAUUAUAUAAUCCAUCUAGGAUGUUUUAUAUGCAUUUAUAUGCUAUUUUAUAUGAUUUUUGGGACUAACCAAUUAACCUAGAGCCCAGUGCCAGUUUCUGUUUUUUCCUUGUUUUUGAGUAUCGCAGAAAAGGAAAACCAAACGGAGUCCAAUUGACCUGAAAAUUGACGGAGAUUAUUUUUGGACCAGAAGAAGCUCACGAAGCAUCGGAGAUGGACCAGAAGAGUCCCGAGGCACCCACGAGGGUGGGGGGCACGCCCUACCUCCCUGGGCGCGCCCCCUACCUCAUGGCCGCCUCGGGGACCCCCCCUGACUUGUUCCCGACGCCAAUACCUCUUAUAUAUACCCAAACUUCCAGAAAGAAACCUAGAUCGGGAAUUCCGCCACCGCAAGCCUCUGUAGCCACCAAAAACCAAUCGGGACCCUGUUUUGGCACCCUGCAGGAGGGGGGAUCCCUCACCGGUGGCCAUCUUCAUCAUCCCAGCGCUCUUCAUGACAAGGAGGGAGUAGUUCACCCUCGGGGCUGAGGGUAUGUACCAGUAGCUGUGUGUUUCAUCUCUCUCUCGUGUUCUUGAUUCGGCACGAUCUUUAUGUAUCGCGAGCUUUGCUAUUAUAGUUGGAUCUUAUGAUGUUUCUCCCCCUCUACUCUCUUGUAAUGGAUUGAGUAUUCCCUUUGAAGUUAUCUUAUCGAAUUGAGUCUUUAAGGAUUUGAGAACACUUGAUGUAUGUCUUGCGUUGGAUACCCGUGGUGAAAAUGGGGUAUUCUAUGAUGUAUGUCUUGGUGAUCAACUUGCGGGUUCCGUGACCUUGGGAAUCUAUGCAUAGGGGUUGGCACACGUUUUCAUCUUGACUCUUCGAUAGAAACUUUGGGGCACUCUUUGAAGUUCUUUGUGUUGGUUGAAUAGAUGAUUCUGAGGUUGUGUGAUGCAUAUCGUAUAAUCAUACCCACGGAUACUUGAGGUGACAUUGGAGUAUCUAGGUGACAUUAGGGUUUUGGUUGAUUUGUGUCUUAAGGUGUUAUUCUAGUAUGAACUCUAGGAUAGAUUGAACGGAAAGAAUAGCUUCGUGUUAUUUUACUACAUACUCUUGAAUAGAUCGAUCAGAAAGAAUAACUUUUAGGUGGUUUCGUACCCUACAAUAAUCUCUUCGUUUGUUCUCCGCUAUUAGUGACUUUGGAGUGACUCUUUGUUGCAUGUUGAGGGAUAGUUAUAUGAUCCAAUUAUGUUAUUAUUGUUGAGAGAACUUGCAUUAGUGAAAGUAUGAACCCUAGCCCUUGUUUCCUUGCAUUGCAAUACCGUUUACGCUCACUUUUAUCGCUUGUUACCUUGCUAUUUUCAUAAUUUCAGAUUACAAAAACCUAUAUCUACCAUCCAUAUUGCACUUGUAUCACCAUCUCUUUGCCGAACUAGUGCACCUAUACAAUUUACCAUUGUAUUGGGUGUGUUGGGGACACAAGAGACUCUUUGUUAUUUGGUUGCAGGGUUGCUUUAGAGAGACCAUCUUCAUCCUAUGCCUCCCACGGAUUGAUAAACCUUAGGUCAUCCACUUGAGGGAAAUUUGCUACUGUCCUACAAACCUCUGCACUUGGAGGCCCAACAACGUCUACAAGAAGAAGGUUGUGUAGUAGACAUCAAGCUCUUUUCUGGCGCCGUAGCCGGGGAGGUGAAUGCUUGAAGGUAUAUCUUUAGAUCUUGCAAUCGAAUCUUUUAUUUUCUUGUUUUAUCACUAGUUUAGUCUAUAAAAGAAAACUAAAAAAUGGAAUUGAGGGUGCCUCAUAUGCUUCAUCUUUUUAAUAUCUUUCGUGAAAAUGAUGGAAAGGAAAAUUGUGCUCAAGUGUUAGAAGAAGAAUGCAUUAGAAUGUUUAGCACUAAAUAUUUGAAUGAUGAGCAUGAUUGCAAUGUUGUUAGUAUGAAUUCCUUGAAUAUCCAUGAUGCUAAUGAUAUGCAAAGCCACAAGCUUGGGGAUGCUAUGUUUGACGAAGAUGAUAUUUUUUGUCACCCAAGUUUUGAUGAGAAAAUUUAUUAUGAUGACAGCAUUCCUCUUAUUUAUGAUGAUUAUAAUUAUGAAAGUGGAUUUGAAGAGGUCAUGACUUUAUUUAGUGAUGAAUCCACUAUUUCGGAAGAGGUUCCAAUUGAUUAUGAGAAUAAAGUUGUUAUCUAUGAUGAUUAUUGUGAUGACUUGUAUGCUAUUAAGAAUAAUGAUAACCAUGAAACUUGUCAUCAUGAUUUUAGUUUUCAAUUCGAUUAUGUUUCACAUGAUAGUUAUUUUGUUGAGUUUGCUCCCACUACUAUUCAUGAGAACAAAUUUGCUUAUGUGGAGAGUAGUAAAAUUUAUAUGCUUGUGCAUCAUGAGAAUAAUGUUUUAUGUGAUGGUUAUAUUGUUGAAUUAAUUCAUGAUGCUACUGAAAAUUAUUAUGAGAGAGGAUCACAUGCUUCUACAUAUUGCAAUAAUAUCAAGUUUCCUCUCUAUGUGUUGAAAUUUUGAUGUCAUGCUUGUUUUGCCUUCCUAUGCUAGUUGAUUCUUGCAUCACAGAGAAAGCCAUUAAGUCAUUAUCAACUGAAACUCAUAGAGAAAGGGAUCCGCAAAACCCCUCGCCAUUACCGUAUGACCAGGUUUUAAAGCCUGCAAGUUAAGUUGUUGGCUGCUCUUAGCGAUUGAGUGCCAACAUGGACCUAUUUGUUAGCUUUGAACCGAGAAGGUCCCUCAACCAUAGCGUGGUACGAACCAGUGGCUUCCCUACCGAAACCGGAGAAAUCCUCUGUUCUGCUCAUGUCUUUUCAUUGCUUAGCUUUUCAAUUCAUAUCCUUCAUCCAAAAUAAAAGGAAUCUCCCUUUGUUAGAAGAAAGCAGGUUUUUGUUUUCGAGGAUAUGGUUAUAGUUCUUUAGGAAGAAGACAACUCACCAAAGGGUUCCUUUACCGAUUCUGGCAUCUAUCCAGUACCUUGAGUGGCCCGUUCUAUUAGAAAGAAUCUCUUUGAUCCCGCGCAACAACAGGAAAGAUUUAGUGGACAUCUCUUAAGCUCGGCCUUGGCUUUCUAUUUCUCUUUUUUCUUUUUUCGCCACCUCCUGUGGCUUUCCGUUUAAGGUCUUUCAUUUUCGGCAUUAGCUUCGUUAGAGAAAGCCAUGCGUGAGCUACAAAGCAUGGGAUCCUGAACACCAUGAAAGAAAGCGUACUACUUUUCAAUAAGGUCCGACUUCAGAGAGGAGAGACAUGAACUUGUUUUACGCGUAGAAAAGGCAUACGGUAUGAAAGAUUGAUUGAAAAGAGGUAGGGACUGGUCUCGCUGCUAAGGGAGAAGGAGACCUCUGUCGGAGCAAGCUAAAGAGCCCACUUUAUAUCGUCGAUUUCAGGUAAGGCACUCGAUCAAGCCUAUACAUCCGGGAAUUGAGCUCCAAACCAAAGACGACUUGCUUUGCUGCAUUUCUUGGGCCAGGGCUUUACUUGAUUUUGGCGAAAGAAAGGCCAUAUGAUCUACUUUCUGGUGCCGGUCCCUUCACAAAGAUAGCCCCUUCUUGCUCUUAUUCUUAUUCUUAUUCUUAUUCGGUGGAAUACAAGAGUUCUGAAGCUCCUUUCUUUCAAGUGAAAGUUGCCUAUCUUUCUUGGUUCAGAAUCCAAUCCAGUUGAAAACAAACAAUUGCCCGAUGGCAAAGUCAGAUGAAAGGCAAGGAGUGUAAAUCACGUACGAGCGUGGCACAGAAAGCGAAAUGUUUUGCAGCGAGUCAAGCGUAAUACGAUCAAAAGGAAAUGGGGUCGAUGCUAAAACUCAAACAGUUCCCCAGAGGGGGCCCCGGGUUGAAAGAGCGAGCUACAUUCUUUCAUAGAAGACAGAAAAUAAGAGGACUGAUGCUUUCUUACUUCAUCUUAAUAUAGGGAUUAUAGCAUUGGAAUUAUGGAAUUUGAAUGGAUUGAGUACAUCAAGAUGAAGAAAUUAACGUAAUAAGCGAUAUUCUCAAAAGAUUCGGUCAUGCCAGAAACCUCAGUGUGCAUGGCACUAAAAAAGGGUACAAAGAACCUGAGAUGCAAGUAAUGGCUGAAUAGCCGGGGAAACACUAAAUAAAGACAAGUGUCAUCCGGACUUACUUGAUUGAUUGAAUUGAGAGAUGGAAAUGCCAUUGAGAGAUUAGAAGGGAUAGAGAAAAUGUCAGAUAGAGGUCGUGCUUCUGCUCAGUCGAAAAGAACAAUCUGAGUGAGGAUAAGGUGGUUUAUGUUAGGGUCCGAGAAAGCAACUUGACAUGCCAAUCCUGACAAGAAUUCCACUCUUUCUGGUCAUGUCAAAAACCACCUCUUGGAAAGCAGAUCGAAAGCCAAUCAUUUCAGAAGAUGAUGACCCUCUUGUGCUCCUACGUUCCUGCUAGUUGGUGGAUGAAGAAUAGGAGAGAGCUUGCUUGAGUAGAAGAUAACCCGCGAGAAGGAUGUUUUGUAGCGCUUUCUCAUACAAAAGGAAAAGGCGUCACGACCGAAGAUAAGGAAAGAUCCCAGCUUUUCAUUGCUCUGUCGCGCCACCCCUCCUCCCAGAGCCGGUUCUUAUCCAUAGAUUUUUCAGCUAAAAGAUACGGUAUAUAUAUCAAUGAAAGCUGGCGCCUUUGGUUCUUGGUACGACUGGUACUUUUUCUCAUUUAUCGGUCUAGUUGGAAAAAUUUCCCCUCAAAGAUCAAGUUUUUCUUAUAUAUUAUGCUGCGCCCUUGCCCUUAACCUUCCUUUCUCUUCUAUAAAAAGGCUGGACGUCAAAUGUAACUGAUGCUUAUAUUCUAAAUAUGACAAGCAAGAAACCUACUAUUGCCGUACCUUAUGACAUUUAUGAAAAAGAAUGUUGUAUUAAGGGGUUUCUAUCAGUUAGUAACAAAGCCGGCAAUAUCCUUGAAUUCAGGGGUCAGCUACGGGACGUAUGUCUCCAUGUGUGCCUAAGAAGCGUCUAUCAUUAUACGCUGUUUAUCCAAUCAAAAACUUCUUCGUUUAGUUGGUAGAACCCACGCCAAUAUCGUAUUGACUCUCUCUCGUCCAAUAAGAGUUUUCGAGAGUUACUUUAUUCAAAUUCUCUCCUUUCCAAUGCUCCACAAGGAAAAAAGAGUAAUAGGACAACAAUCUUGCUUUCAAGUGAUGGUGGGGGAUCAAGAAGAGUGGCAAUAAAUUGUUUGAUCACAAAAUCACUAUGCAUAGGAAGUGGGUUAGACUUAAAUGUGCUAGUCAUAUUCUUCAUGAUGCUCUCUUUAUGUUUCAAUUCUUAUCUUUUAUGUGAGCAUCAUUGAAAUCAUCGUGCCUAACUAGGGGCGUUAAACGUUAGCGCUUGUUGGGAGGCAACCCAAUUUUAUUUUUGUUCUUUGCCUUUUUGCUCCUGUUUAUUAAUAAAUAAUUCAUAUAGCCUCUGUUUAGAUGUGGUUUUAUUGUUUUAAUUAGUGUUUGUGCCAAGUAGAACCUUUGGGAAGACUUGGGUGAAGUCUUUGCGAUCUUGCUGUAAAAAACAGAAACUUUUGCGCUCACAAGAUUAGCUGCCAUUUUUUAAUGGAGAGUGAUUUUGGGUUGAUUAUUUUUUCAGAUGAUUAAUAGACAAAUUCCUCAGGUCCAAAAAUUUAUUUAAGAAUUUUUGGAGUUACAGAAGUAUUCGAAUGAUACAGAUAACUACAGACUGUUCUGUUUUUGACAGAUUCUGUUUUCUAUGUGUUGUUUGCUUAUUUUGAUGAAUCUAUGAGUAGUAUCGGAGGGUAUGAACCAUAGAGAAGUUGGAAUACACUAGAUAUUACACCAAUAUGAAUUUAGAAUGAGUUCACAACAGUACCUAAGUGGUGAUUUAUUUUCUUAUACUAACGGAGCUUACGAGUUUUCUGUUAAGUUUUGUGUUGUGAAGUUUUCAAGUUUUGGGUAAAGAUUCGAUGGACUAUGGAAUAAGGAGUGGCAAGAGCCUAAGAUUGGGGAUGCCCAAGGCACCCCAAGGUAAAAUUCAAGGACAACCAAAAGCCUAAGCUUGGGGAUGCCCCGGAAGGCAACCCCUCUUUCUUCUUCGUUCAUCGGUAACUUUACUUGGAGCUAUAUUUUUAUUCACCAUAUGAUAUGUGUUUUGCUUGGAGCGUCAUUUUAUUUUAUUUUGUUUUGCUUGCUGUUCGAAUAAAAUAUCAAGAUCUGAAAUUCUUAAAUGAUAGAGAGUCUUCACAGAGUUGCAUAAUUAUUCGGCUACUCAUUGAUCUUCACUUAUAUCUUUCGGAGUAGUUUGUCAUUUGCUCUAGUGCUGCACUUAUAUCCUUUUAGAGCACGGCGGUGGUUUUAUUUUGAAGAAAUAGAUUAAAUCUCAUGCUUCACUUAUAUUAUUUUGAGAGUCUUUAGAACAGCAUGGUAAUUUGCUUGGGUUAUGACUUUAGUCCUAAUAUGAUGGGUAUCCACGAUGGUUAUAAUAAAAAAUUUGAUAUAAAGUGCAUUGAAUACUAUGUGAAGUUUGAUUCCUUAUGAUUGUUUUGGGAUAUGAGGAUGGUAAUAUUAGAGUCAUGCUAGUGAGUACUCCCUCCGUUCCUAAAUACUUGUCUUUCUGGGCAUUUCAACAAGUGACUACAUACGGAGUAAAAUGAGUGAAUCUACACUCUAAAAUAUGUCUACAUACAUCCGUAUGUGAUAUUCAUUUGAAAUGCCUAGAAAGACAAGUAUUUAGGAACGGAGGGAGUAGUUGUGAAUUUGAGAGAUACUUGUGUUAAAGUUUGUGAUUCCCGUAGCAUGCACGUAUGGUGAACCGUUAUGUGAUGAAGUCGGAGCAUGAUUUAUUUUUUGAUUGUCUUCCUUAUGAGUGGCAGUCGGGGAUGAGCGAUGGUCUUUUCCUACCAAUCUAUCCCCCUAGGAGCAUGCGCGUAGUACUUCAUUUCGAUAACUAAUAGAUUUUUGCAAUAAGUAUGUGAGUUCUUUAUGACUAAUGUUGAGUCCAUGGAUUAUACGCACUCUCACCCUUCCACCAUUGCUAGCCUCUCUAGUAUCGCGCAACUUUCGCCGGUACCAUACACCCACCAUUACCUUCCUCAAAACAACCACCAUACCUACCUAUUAUGGCAUUUCCAUAGCCAUUCCGAGAUAUAUUGCCAUGCAACUUUCCACUGUUCCAUUUAUUAUGACACGCUCCAUCAUUGUCAUAUUGCUUUGCAUGAUCAUGUAGUUGACAUCGUAUUUGUGGCAAAGCCACCGUUCAUUAUUUUCGUACAUGCCACUCUUGAUUCAUUAUCCCAGUACACCGCCGGAGGCAUUCACAUAGAUUCGUAUUAUUUUCUAAGUAUCGAGUUGUAAGUAAAUAAAAGUGUGAUGGUCAUCAUUAUUAGAGCAAUGUCCCAUGUGAGGAAAGGAUGAUGGAGACUAUGAUUCCCCCACAAGUCGGGAUGAGACUCCGGACGAAAAAUAAAAAAAAUAAAAGAGGACAUAAAAAAAGAGAAAGGCCCAAACAAAAAAAAAAGAGAAAAAAUGAAAGAAAAAGAGAGAUGGGACAAUGUUACUAUCCUUUUACCCCACUUGUGCUUCAAAGUAGCACCGUGAUCUUCAUGAUAGAGAGUCUCCUAUGUUAUCACUUUCAUAUACUAGUGGGAAUCUUUCUUUAUAAAACUUAGCUUGUAUAUUCCAAUGAUGGGCUUCCUCAAAAUGCCCUAGGUCUUCGUGAGCAAGCGAGUUGGAU
Molecule: long non-coding RNA, 53642 nt
Filed under: Triticum aestivum (bread wheat)
Lineage: Eukaryota; Viridiplantae; Streptophyta; Magnoliopsida; Poales; Poaceae
Description: long non-coding RNA (TAES_LNC004756)
Source: RNAcentral